AAGUUAUGCAGUCUUGUGGUUGGAAAUUUCACCGCUUCGUGGCGUUAGUGUGCAUUUCUGGAGAUUGUCAGAUUUAGAUGGUUUGUGAAAUAAAAAAUUAAGUGUUUAAAGCAUAAAAACCCGAUUUAAUCCACCUAUGGUGAACAGAACCCUUCUUACACUUAUUAAAAUUAUUGUUGUAUUAUUUGUAUUUAACAUAUUUAUUUUGUGUAAUUGACCAAAAGUUCUAGAAAAUAUUGUGGAUUUGGCAUCUAGUGGAUUGGUUUCCAAAAAAGCAUCAUGAACCAUGGACUUAACUACCAGAAAUGCCAGACACCUCUUAGAACCUUGUAUGGAAUGAUAAAAAAAUAGCUUACAUAUUCUGGAAUAUUGUAUCUUUUGUUAACUGCCAAAAGAUCUUGAAUCGAUUAACGAAUGGAUAAGAAAAUCAUCGAGAUAACUUUGUCUAAUAUCUCUUAAUCAGUCGAUUGAAUUAGCUCCGAAGUACUUGGUAUUCAUGGUUAUGGUGUAGAAAGGACAAAAAUGCUAUAUCUACUAAGUUAAUCAGUUUUGGCGUUAGCUAGUUAUUUUAGCUGUCCGGUUCUUGCAUUUUUCCCACAAUAUAUAAAUUCAAAGCUUUCAUUUAACAUAUUGUUACUUUUCAUAGAAUUCCUGUUUAUUUGUAAUUUGUUAUUUAUUAUUUUGUUGAAAACAAUAACCUGCUAGUAUACACUUUAUAUGAGGUCAGCAUUAUUUAUUGAACAAUUUCCCAUAUACUGGUCAACAACUCAUGCAAGAUAACAAGUGAAUAUAAUAAUAAAAAAAGAAUUUAUUGAAAUACUCUUCGUUAGAUAUCUCAGUAAUCAAAUGUUGAAUAGAAAUAAAAUUUCAGGGCCUUUUACAAGGAUAUUGUAGCUUUGAUUUGGUGCUAAGCGAACCCAAAUCGGUUGACAGACGGUUGAGAUAUUUAUUAUGGUACCCUUGGUCAAAAAUCUCUCAAAAAGUUAGCCUGUAUUACUCCCAAGUACUCUUUGAAAGAUAUCUCGGUAAUCAAAUGUCUAAUCCUAAUAAAAUUGUAUAGGGUUCUACCGUUCUACUAGAAUGUUGUAGCUUUCAUUUGGUGCCAGGAGAACCGAAAUCGGUUGACAGACGGCUGAGAUAUUUAUUAUGAUACAUUCGGUCAAAAAUCUCAAAAAGUUUAGUUGCAUAAAUCCUAAGUACUCUUCGAAAGAUAUCUCUGUAACCAAAUGUCCAAUCGAAAUAAAAUUUCUGAGGGAUCUACUAGGAUGCUGUAGCUUUCAUUUGGUGCCAAGAGAACCCAAAUCGGUUGACAAACGGCCUAGAUAUUUAUUAUAAUACACUUGGUCAAAAUUUUUAAAAAGUUUAGAUGCAUGACUCAUAAGUACUCUUCGAGAGAUAUCUCGGUAACCAAACGUCUAAUCGAAAAAAAAUUCAAUAGCGUUCUACUAGGAUAUAGUAGCUUUCAUUUGCUUCCAAGAGAACUCAAAUCGGUUGAAAGACGGCUGAGAAACGUGCGUGACUUUUUUUUGUAACGCACAUACACACACACACACACACACACACACACACACACACACACACACACACACAUACACACAUACACACACACACACACACAUACAGACAUUUGCUCAGUUCGUCGAGCUGAGUUCAUUGGUAUAUGAGACUCGGCCCUCCGGGCCUCGGAUCGAAAGUCGGUUUUUCGAGCGAUAUUUAUACCCUUCUUAUGGGUGUAAGAAGGGUAAAAAGAAAUAGCCUUCUGCUAUUGAAUGGUUUAUCAAAAGCUUUUAACAGAGUUUCUCAUUUUAAACUACUGCACAGAUUAUAACACCUAUUUGAUUUCAGCUGAGAUUCUGUUUCAUUGAGUAAAUCAUAUUUGAAUAACCGCUUUCAAAUUGUGGAAGUUAAAAUAAAUCAUUGAUGUCCGAUCGCUAUUCUAUCGGGAGUGUCACAAAGAUCGAUUUCAGGACCAUUGAUGUUAGCCUUAUUUUUCAACGGUCUUCCAUCAUCUUUGAAAGUAUGUAAUAUCCAUAUGUUUGCAGAUGAUAAGAAGCUGUAUUUCUACUGAAUUAUUAUGGACGUUAAAUGCAUGGCAAUGAAACGUGACUUACGACAUGAUGUGCCGAAAUUCGAUAUAAAUUUCUAAGCUCCACAAAUAAUUUGUUUUCAAUCAAUUCUUUAAAAACUAAGGUGAUUGUAAUUUGCAGAUGACUAAUUGAUCCAGUUGUAUUAUGUUAAUUCAAUAAAAAUGAUAAAACUUCUAAUUUAAGAAUAUUUUUUUUAAAUAAUCUAGAAUGGGAUCACAAACUGCAAAACCUAUGGAGGAUUGUGAAACUUAAAACUUACUUCAGGAAUGUUAACAGUUUCAAUGGUUCUACCCCGUUAGGCCGAAAGCCGUUAGGCCGAAUGCCGUUAGGCCGAAUGUCGUUAGGCCGAAUGCCGUUAGGCCGAAAGGGUCGUUAGGCCGAAAGGGUCGUUAGGCCGAACAGGUCACUAGGUCAAAUGGGUUGUAAGGUUAAACGGUUAGCUUAGGCAACUGGAUGGAAAGAAACUGUUUAAUGUUCGAGAUAAACGGUCUUCGACCUUGAAAUUUUGGUUGGCUUUGAAUGGUUAAUUGAAUAAACACACUAAUAGUUUUUCGCGUUUUAAAGUCUAAAUUAUAGUUACACCGGAAACAAAUUCAGAGUUCCAGUACAAACAUGAUUAACAAGAUUAAACAACUGAAUCGAGUUCUCUAAAACUUAGAAAGAACAGCCUAUGUUUAAAAGAAGGAAAAAUCUUCGAAGAAAAAGCUGUUAGUCGUUAUGCUUAUAGUGAGUAAAAAAGUAAUACUACGAAAAAACACCCUAUGUUCAGAAGAAGGAAAAACUCUGUUGAGGGCUGUAAAACAUUAAAACUAGAAAGAGCAGCAGUAGACUACCGCCUAGACUACCGCCGUGAAACAGGACAGUUAGACUAGAAAGAGUUUAGAAGAAGUAAAAUUUCAGAUGAAAAAAUUGAUUACUAUAAUACGAAUAUGGGUAAAACAGCCUAUGUUCCGAAGAAGAAGGAACUCUGAUGAAAAAGUUAAUGGCUGUAAUCUUUAUAAUGAAAAAAGAACAACCUAUUUUCAAAAGAAGGAAAAAUUUCCGAUGAAGAAUUUAAUAGCUGUUAUGUUUUUAGUGAGUAUAACAGUUAGACUAGAAGAAAAGCCUAUGUACAGAAGAAGGAAACACUUGUAUGCAAAAAUUAAUGGCUGUAAUACUUAUAAUGAGCAGAAUAGUUAAACUAGAAAGAACAGCCUAUUUUCAAAAGAAGGAAAAAUCUCUGUUGAAAAAAUAAUAGCUGUAGUGCUCAUAGUGAGUAGAACACUAAAAAUAGAGAGAACAGCCUAUGUUUAGAAGAAGAAAAAAUCUCCGAUGAAAGAUUUAAAAGCUGUAAUGCUUAUAGUGAGUAUAACUGUUAGACUAGAAGAAAAGCCUAUGUACAGAAGGAGGAAAUACUCUUAUGAAAAAAAUUAUGGCUGAAAUACUUAUAAUGAGUAGAAUAGUUAACCCUCAGAGCCCCAGGACAAACUUUUUAUUUUUAAUCGGCUGAUACUCAGGAUCUGUAAAAUAUAAAAAUAAGCAGUUUUCACUAUGAUCGAUGGGAAGAGUUGUAUUUCAUGCUAGGGUAGUUGUCAAACCGGAAGUCCAUGCUUGAACCUGAUUUUGCACCGGAAAUAAGUGUUCCCUAGUGCUAUGUUUGGCGAUAUGUUCUACAGCUGCCUUUUGGCUACUUUUUUCAAUAAUUAGCUGUUGAUUCUCGGUAGAUCAAUUAAGGUGGAAUCUAAAUCUGUCCUUUAAUUUCUUAGCGAAGCGUGCUUUUACAAAUUGGAAUCAUUCUUGUAAAUUGGGAUAGAAACCGAUAAACGCCUAAAAGUAUGCAAUGAUGUAGUAAUAAUUCGUAGACUAAAAGUAUGACCAGUGUUUGAAUUUUAGGUGGAUUUAUCACAUGAGUAAUACUUUUAAAAGAAGGGCUCGAAUAUACGAAACAAAUUCUUCAUAGACACCAAACUUCUCAAAUCAUCUUUUCAGGUGCAAAAUUAUUAUGAUCACGAAAUUGGGUCUUAGGGAGUCCUACCGGAAGUACACUCCUGGGACCAAGUUUCAGAUGCAUCUCAUGCCAGAAAGCAGCCUCAGCAUUGUGUUCUUGCGUUGGCCUACCAUUUCAAGUUGUUAAAGAUUUCAGAAUUAUUAUAAAAUACCAGAUUCAUAGACGACUCGCCAAAACAUUGCACCAGAGAACACUUAUUUCCGGUGCAAAAACAGGUUCAAACAUGGACUUCCGGUUUGACAACUACUCUUACAUGAAGUACAACUCUUCCCAUCGAUCAUAGUGAAAACCGCUUAUUUUUAUAUUUUACAGAUCCUGAGUACCAGACGAUUAAAAAAAAGAAGUUUGUCCUGGGGCUUUGAGGGUUAAACUAGAAAGAACAGCCUAUUUUCAAAAGAAGGAAAAAUCUCCGAUGAAAAAAUUAAUUGCUGUAAUUCUCAUAGUGAGUAGAACAUUAAAACACAAACAACAGCCUAAGUUUAAAAGAAGGACAAAUCCCGAUGAUAAAUUUAAUAGCUGAAAUGCUAUACUUAUUCUUCACCACUUAUCCUUACAGCUUUUUUGUCCACUAGGGCACUACGUAAGCGAUUCCAAUUGGCAGCUGAACUUACACUUUGUACAGCGCCUAAAUGUAUUCUAUUUUACUAUUUUGGACUGGUUGCCUUUGCGCUGUUUUCUUUUUUGUAUCCUGCUCAUGCUAGAAUGAUAAGUACGAUCAUGUUGAUGCUUUAAGGUUAGGUAUAAUAGCCUUUUUGUUAUUUGUAUUACAUUCAUUUGCAAGUAGUAUUAUGUUGACAAUGUUACUGUAUUGAAUAUCUUUAUCCUGUCGAUAGCUUUGGUUGUGCCCGUUCACCAUAACACUUUGUUUCUAACUAAAAAUAAGCUUUUUCGAGAUACUGUAUUAUAAAUCUUUUCUACUUAGCCUCCCAAAUUGAUAUUCCCCACAGUUCCCAAUGAUGUCGACUUUUCUCAUGUUUAUCUCGUUUUGUGCAAUAUAAAACGAUAUAAGUCAGUAGGCACAUAUAAUGACAACCUAUUCGGCCUAACGACCCUUUCGGCCUAACGACCCUUUCGGCCUAACGACCCUUUCGGCCUAAUGACCCAUUCGGCCUAACGACUCUUUCGGCCUAACGACUCUUUCGGCCUAACGACCCUUUCGGCCUAACGGCAUUCGGCCUAAUGGCCUUCGGCCUAACGGCAUUCGGCCUAACGGCUUUCGGCCUAACGGCCUGCUCCCUUGCAUUACCCCUAGUAGGAUAUUGGGGUCAAUAUCAGGGUGGCCACACAAAAUCCAAAUUGAAAUUCCCGCAUUUUUCCCGACUUUUUCCCGCAUUGAUUUUAAAUUUUCCCGACUUUCUUUAUAUUACCUGUGGAGCAGUAAAACAUCCAAGAAUCCAAACUUUUAAGUGGAUCUGUAAAACUUACUGAAAGAUUUACAGUGUCAUUGUGAUACUGUGACAAUUUUACAAUAUAUUGGAGACUAGCUGUCCCGGCAAACAACUGCCUGCCUACUGUGUUUUUGACAUCAAGUUUUAUAGAAAGUGUCGCUCAAAACGGAAUUUCAGAUUUUAGUGUUUUUCUGGCAUCCCUGGACACCAUUUACAAUUAUUUUCUCACACGAACACGUCGGAGCCCUGCACGUAUGCAACAGUGAAAUAAUGAAGCAUAUCCGUUGACCCGUUCCCGAGCCUAUUCGUGACAUACAAACACCAUUCCAUUUUUAUUUAUAUAGAUGUUAACAUCAAAAGAAAUUUACAUGUAACAUGUGCUUCAAGUUUUCUUCUUAUUCUGGAUGUUGUGUAACGUAAAACUAUACUUGAACUCCUUAAGAAAUGCUUGAUAAAGUUCCUAUGAAAAUGUAGUCGGCUAACUGAAAUAUUCUUCUUUGGUGAAUUCUGUAUAGAAGUUCAAAUCUGUACAUAAAACAGAUAAGUUGUGUCUAUGAGAGCACUAGUAGAGUAAAGUGGGGCAAAAGUUCGAGUGGGGCAAGAGUUUCUUUUGAAGUUUUUGAACUCAAUUCAAAUGAUUUCUUUCGGGUGUCAAGGUUGUUCGAACCCUUUUUGGAGAAGAGUCUUUCACUCCAAAAAUUAUGAAAAUUGAUCAAUAUUUCGAGAAGUUAUGACAAAAUGUUGGUUUUUGAUCAAAAAAUUGUAACAUGCGAUAGCCCUUCCAACGCAUGGAAUGAAAUUUUAAUGAAAUCGAAUUCGAUAUUUUAUUUUGGGGCGUAACUAGGUAUAUUUUGAAGAUGCUCUAGCAUGUAUAACUUUUUGCAAAAAUGAUUUGGAAAUCGUAUUUUACACAUAGUGGGGCAAAAGUUCGAAUUGUGGGGCAAAAGUUCGAGUCAUGUGGCAACUUUAGGUAUAAACCUAAAAUUCUGUAAAAUGUACAUAUUAUCUCUAAGAGUGAUGGCAUUAGUGAGAAAAUUCGAUUAAAGUUGAAAAAAAAAGUUGUUUUAUCUGAAUUUAGCGGAAAACUACUAAUUUUUGGUGUAGUAAAUUUAACCCUGAUUUGGGUAAAAUCCAAAUCGAGUUUUAAAGUGUAUUCCACUUCUAACAUCAAAUAUUAAGUGGUUUCAGGUAUUCCUAUUACCAAAGUGUCAAAAUAGUGUGCUACGGUUAGCGAAAUUCCACAAACACUAGAUUCGAACUUUUGCCCCAGUGGUGGGGCAAGAGUUCGAAUAAAACACACACAUACAAAAUGUGUUGUAACUCAAAAUUGAAAAGACAUUUGGCGUAACUUUGUUCAGCAAAAUUUUAGUACAUGGAUAGUAGAAUCACCACACGGUAUUUAUUUAUUUUUAUCUGCUUCGAUUUUUUGAAAUAAGUUGAAUUAUCAACUAAGGUCGAACUUUUGCCCCACCUUACUCUAAUGAAUUCCUUAGCGGAAUUUUCUCAAAAAAAUUAGAAAAUAUGUGGGGAUUUUAAAAGGUUUUCAAUUCAUAAACAAUUUCUAGCUGAAUUUGUAGAGAAGUUCUAAAACCCUGAAAAACAUAAUUUUGACAUUUCUGAAUUCAUGUGUAAGGUUUUUUUUAAUAUUUUAGGAAAAAUAGAUAUUCUGGGCUUCAGCUUUAGUAGAAAAAUCCCAUUUUGGAAAAACUCAUUUGGAAGCUUGUGAAUAAUGAAAACUGAUGCGUAGAGUGUACAUCUUAAAAAAGAGUCCAAUUUUAGUCGAAUUUCUCUAGGAGUUUGAAGUGAAUCUAGUACAGCCGUUUUUGAGUAGCAUUCAAACACAAACUUAUUUAAACUUAUUUAAACUUAAUUAAAUGAGUUUGUGAUUCAAACCUUUGGAUUAACCUAGGGUCAAGCAAAAAAAUCAUCAGACAUACCUACAAGUUGGGCUUAAAAUUAUUUCCGUAUAAGAAGUGUUCUUUUUCUUUUGACUUUCACGAUUUCAGGACAAUGUUUCGUCAGCAAAACUUGUAGAACCCCCAGAGAGACAUAAAUCAGUUCUUCAGAUUUGCAUUAGGAAUUAAGGUUAAAAACUCCUUUACAAUGUUCAUAUGUCUGUCCUAAGGAAUUCACGCUAGAAGCUGUUCAUGUUUUCCAUUGGUUAAGGAAUACCUUCAGGAGACAAGUCAUACAAAGAUUUAAUAAAAAAAAAUCUAGAAGAUCCUGUCUUCUGGUUUUUAAUUUGCAAUUUUGCUUCCGUUUUAAUGUCAAGUUCCAGGUUAGUGAAUUUAUCCAGUAAUUCUACAAAAACUUACACAGAAAAUACUUCAACAUAAUUUUAUUAAAAAUCUUCCAGAAACUCUUCCGAGACGACUGAAUUUUUUAUGCUUUCAGUAAUUAUUCCAAAAAAAUUUGAAAUGUCACUAUACGAAAUUGUUAGUAUGAUGAUUUUGGUGAUUGCAGAAAGCUUUUCUAUGAACUCAUUCUGAAAUUUCUAGAAAUACCAUUAAAAACUCCUUCAAAGCAAAAUUUUCUGGAAGUCCUUGACUAGCGAAUUAAAGAGUUAUUUCAAAAAGUUUCAAUAAAAACUUAAAUUCUUGAUAUAUAUAUAUAUAUAUAUAUAUAUAAAUAUAUACGUUGAGUUUCAUUAAAUAUCAUUAUUAUUAUUAGUUGAAAAAACAGCUUCGUUGAAACAACAAAAUUAAAUUUUAGUUUCAAUACAAUACCUUUUAUUACUUCAGAACAUUGCUUUUGUAGAUUUGCUAAAUCGUAUUUUUGUUUCGAAAAAUUUUAUGCAUUGGGUUUGAUAGCAGGUUGAUUUCGGGCAAUUCUAGAAACAAAAAACUUUAUUGUUGUUACAAAUUUAUGAAUUUGUUGAAUCAACAAUAUUUGCAGGUACACGCUGAGUCAACAAUAAAAAUCUGUUGAAUCUAAAGACUGGACUCGAAAAAAAUGAGACACAAAGAAUAAUGUAUAACUUUUGAUUGCGUGUACAAAAAUAGCUGAUUUUUUUACCAGGAAUAGUACAUUAUGUGUAGCUAAUGCCAUAAAAAUUUCAUCAAAAUCGGUUAAGUGUUGGCGGAGAUACCGUCGAAAUAAGAGACUUACCAUUUGAGAAUCUUGGGCUAAACAAACACUUAAAAAAAUAUCACAUUUUUUACCUAAAACUGUAGAGCCAAAAAUACUGAACCGAUUUCUAUGAAAAUUUUAGAUGUAUUGUGUCAAAAAUUCAUUCAAUUUGAUUUGACCUUUAAAAAGUUAUAGCCAUAUAUGUAGUACUAUGUCACAAUAAGCAAGUGUGGUUUUUGGUAUAGUGACAUUCAAACUGCUCUAACUUUUAAAAUGUUCAAUCAAAAUGGCUGAAAUUUUCACUGAGAACAGAUUAACACAACGAUUUUACACUGUCAAAGUUUCAAAAAAUAUCGGGACAGUGUUGCCAAUACUACAGUCAAAAUAAUGCACACUGAUUUUAAAAUGUAAAAAAGUGCCCAAAAUUUGUAAACCCCGUUUUUUGUUUGAAUUGUUAAAAAGAAGUACUGAACCGAUUAUAAUGAAAUUUUCACCACUUAUUUAUGACUUACUUGAAGAACUUACAGUCAAAUUUUUAGACGUUUUGAUGAGCUAACAAUCAAGUUAUAGCCUAAAUAAUUUUUAAAAUGGAAGCCCAAAAUUUCCAAAAUCACAUUUUAUUGUAUCGACAAUAUUUGCGCCAAUACUGAACCGAUUUUGAUGAAAUUUUUAGGGCAUUACCUACACAUAACAUGCUAUUCCUGGUUAAAAAAUCAGCUAUUUUUGUGAAUGCAAUCAAAAGUUAUAAAUUAUUUUGAGUGUCUCAUUUUUUUCGAGUCCAAUCUUUAUGCAGAAUUCCUUUGGUUUUAGAAUAUAUUUUUCUGCGUAUAACAUAUUAGGAGGGUUAAAUCACUGCAUACGUUGGGCAUUCAAUUUGACUAGAUACUCUAGUGUGGGUCACCUACAAUGACAACUGCUGGGAUACUCAUUUCUUAUUUUUUAACUACGUUAUUGUGCGAUGCUAUAUGGAAUCAUUCACCAAGGACCUAAAGAUUGUGGCCUCAUCACUAAGAUACUGAUGAUCUUAAGGCUUAAGCACCCGUCGUCAUUUUUCGGAAAAUAAAAAGCAGUUUUCUCGCUGUAAAUCAAAACAUCGACCAUGAAAAUGACUGAGAAUCCAAGAUAAGCGCGACAAUAUCUAUCUGAGCUUUCCUAAACGUCUGGAUCUUGAUUGAAACUUGUCAAAAAUGCUGUAUUUUACAAGCACAGUAGCACCGCACAGCGGCGUAAUGCGUACCAAACACCAGCUGUAAAAUGUUCAUUUGACAUAAACUGCAUUUUCAAAACUAUAACUGAGUUUGCUAUAAUGUUCAUAUAAAGAUUAUCAAAAUAUUUUUUUUUGUAUUAUAACUGACCUUGUUAUAUUUCUGAUAUAAUUAAAUCAGGUUUUCAAAUCAUUUUUGUCAAAUAUAUCUUAUUAUUAUUAUUAGCUUUAUUAAGGAGAUUUUCAGCCCGCGGCUGGUUCAUCUCCACGAAAUAUAUCUAAAUAUAACAAACGGUGAUAUAUCUAUCAACCGUUGAUAUAAUUUUGUUACAUUUUUGUUAUGCCUUUCUGAUCGGGUAGGUUACCGCUUCUGAUGCAUAUGCAGAAGGUCCUGGGUUCGUCCCUUUCCUCCUACUUUGUAUCUUUCUACCUACUGUCUCUCUCUAUACAUCUUAUAUUAUAUUAUUAUGUUCAUAGUCAUCGCUAGAACCAGAAACGAAGUAAAAAAACGUUUCUUUUCCUUCCAACUUCCACAGCACAGUGUCAAUCACAUAACGCCCACUAGCUAUGCAACCAACCCGACUAGAAGAUUCUAACAAAAAUAUAACAUAAUUAUAACAAACCAUGAUAUGUAUAACUCAUUGUGAUAUGAUCAUGUUUAAUAUCAUUGCUGUUUGAAAAUAUUAUAACUCAAUUGUAUCAUAUUAUGUUAUAAAUGUUGUUCAAUAACUCAUUGUGAAAUAAUUUAGUUCUGAUUCUUUGACAUUCAGAACAUCAUUUUACAGAAUUGUAUCAAACUAUGAUAGAAAUUAGUUUUCUUGAAGCUAAGAUUUAUAUCAUAUUGUGUUAUAAUUUUGUUCUGAUUACAGGUCGGACUCGAUUAUCCGGAGUCAAGUUCUGAUGAUUCUCAAAUAUAUAUCUGGCGAACGGAAUGCUCUAUAAAGCUGAAAUUUUGACAUUUUGUCAAGCCAACUUUGAUUAGUGAUCAGUCAAAAUUUCAGCUUCUUACAUUGUUUCGUUCGUGAGAUAUUAUUUUGGUAAGCGCCAGAACCCGACUCCGGAUAAUCGAGUCCGACCUGUAUAACAAAAAAGGUUGUUAUUUUGAUUAGACCGGUGUACUUUUUGUUACAGUUUUAGUUAUUUUAACAUCAUCCUGCAUCUAGUUUAUAACAAAAUAAGUUAUAGAAAAAUUUCAUAUCAUCAUAACGCAAUGUGUUAUAAACUUGAUAUAUUUUUCUAGUCGGGAAGCAAACUGUGCCACAUCAUCUUCACAGUAAUCUUCACACAAUCUAUCACUUUACGUCUGGCAUCCACGCACCAAUGCACAGUGGGAAAAAUCGACCCAAAAAACGGAUCUUUUAACGCCGCUGGUUUCGGUACUAAAAGUUGACCAUUUCUGACGUAAACAAACUACAAGAAAUCGAUUGGUGCUAAAUUCAUUCACUGCACGGCACGGGAAGUGGUCCAUUUUGCCCCAUUUUGCCCUUUUUUUCAUACAAAAAGAGAAUCAAAAUGUACUUUCAAACAACCAACACGACUGUAGAUCGUUGAAAAUAGCUGCAGGUGUAGUUAGAGGUCAAUAGAAAUCAUAAACAUAUAUGAAAGAUCCUUUUAAAUGCUCAUUUUGCCCCAUAUGCCCCAUCAACUGCUGGAAAUUGUGAAUUUUACAUAAUUAUGAAUGAAUUUUUAAUGUUACUAAUUUGAAUGUGUUUUUUUUUUUGCAUAAACAAAAAGCGCUAGUUCUGAUAUCACCAGAAUCAUCUUCAGUAGUUGUCCAAUUUGCCCCAUUUUGCCCUAUUAUCAUAAAAAAUGAGAUUUAAAGUACUUAUAAGAAACAGAUACUGCUAUGGAACGUUGACAUUAGUUCUAGUUGCAAUUGGAAGCUAACAGUUAUCAUGCGCAUAUAUGAAAGAUAUUUUCCCUAUUUUACCGUACAUUCCCCUAAAACUGCUGGAUGAUUUUUUGUAUUGUUUUGUAUUGUUUUAUAAUGUCACUGGUUGCAAUACAUGAAGUCCUGAAUCAUUUUUUUAUGUAUGCAAAUACGAUUUAUCGAUUAGCUUCCGAAUGAUUCACGGGAAGAUACAAAUAGCUCUCCAUUUUACCCCAAUUUGCCUUGAUUUGUUGUCGCCUCAUGAAUGAAUUGAUUUCCCGCAUUUGCUUAUGUCCGAAUUGAUGGACUUUUGUUACUGAAACCAAUGUAAUCGAAAGGACAGUUAAAACAUAUGACUUUAGUGGGGAAUACAGGGUAUAAUAAGCAUUGACCCUAAUUUUAAUUUGUGGCACAUAUGCACACCACUGAUUAUAUGAGGCAUCUUAAGUAUAUAUAUACGCACUAUUUAAUCAGUUUAGUGCAUAUAUUACAUAUUUUAUGAAAUGCUUAUUACGCCCUUAAUUCCCCAUCAAAAGCUGAAAUUAUAGAAAGAGUCAUAUAUAUGUCUUUUUGAUAACAGUACCAAUAAUGCUAAUAAGGGAAAUUAAUUUAUUCAUUACAUGACAAAAAAUCAGGGCAAAUUGGGGUAUAAUGGACAGCUAUUCAUACCAUUCCGAGAAUGAUUCUAGCAUUAAUCGAUAAAACGCAUUUGUAUAUAUCAAAAAUGAUCCAGGACUUAAUGUUUUGCAUCCAACAACAUCAUACAAAAUAUGUUAUUAUCCAGCAGUUUUAGGGGAAUGUAGGGUAAAAUAGGGAAAAUAUCUUUCACAUAUGCGCAUGUUAACUGUGAGCUUCCGAUUUCACCUAAAUCUAAUUUCAACGUUCUAUAGCAGUAUUUGUUUUUCAAAAAUACAUUUUAAAUCUAUUUUUUUUUCAUGAAAAUAGGGCAAAAUGGGGCAAAUCGGACAACUCCCGAAGAUGAUUCUGGUGACAAUAGAUCUGGCACUUUUUGUUUAUGCCAAACAAAUCAAUUCAAAUCAGUAACAUUUAAAAUCCUUUCAUAAUUAGGAAAAAAAUGUGAAUAUCUAGAAGUUGUUGGGGCAUAUGAGCAUUUAAAAGGAUCUUUCAUGCAUUCCUAUGAUUGCUAUUAACUUCCAAUUACACCUGCAGCUAUUUUCAACGAUCUACAGUCAUGUUGAUUGUUUGAAAGUACAUUUUGAUACUCUUCUUGUAAGAAAAAAAGGGCAAAAUUGACCAUUUCCCGUGCCGUGCGGUGAAUAAAUUUAGCACCAAUAGGUUUCUCGUAUUUUUUACGUCAGAAAUGGUCAACUUCACGUACUGGAACCAACGGCGUUAAAAGAUCCGUUUUUUGGGUCGAUUUUUCCCACUUUUUUUCCCACUGUGCAAUGCAUGAACCCUCUGCCAAAAAUGACCAUUUCCCAACAACACUCCGACAUCCGAAUGACCUUGUGCAGGCGCAGAGGAUUCAACGGCUUGAAGUGGACAAACGGGCAACCAUCACUUCCCUCCCCUUUCCCACAUUGACCUGCAUCCUGACGUAGCAGGCGCCAUUGUCGCCUAAAAAUAGAAAAUCUCCAACACUCACACCCUGAAGAUGCCUGUUGGUCCCAGGCAGCAAUCUCAUUGGUUUCUUGUGUUAGUGUAGCUGACCUGACGAUACGGAUGUAGCAACUACGGGUGGUCAAACAAGCUUAAGCUCAAGCUAUGCUUACACUCUUAUUUCAUCUAUUUUUUUUUCAGUGAGACCAUGCUGAAAGUCUGGGUUCGGUUUCCUGUCGGUCCAGAAUCUUUUCGUAAGCAAGAAUCCAUGGAUGUAGUUGCAUCAUGUUUUAUCAAUUGUUGACAUUCUCUUGCUCUUUGUAGCAUGUUUUACCAUACCUAAUACACGACUUGUUGCACUAUCGAAGAAUCCCCUUCGCCCCCACAUGGAGUACUUCCCGCAGGAAUCCCGGUAAAAUUUUGUGGAGGAAUCCAGUCUCAAAAAAAAAAAAAGUCGGAAGAAGUCUUAGGAGGCAUAACGGAAAGAAUCACGAAAGAAAUCCUCAAAGAAUCCUGGAGGAAUCCCAGAAGAAAUUCCGGAGACAAUUCUGACAGAGAUACUUGAAGGAAUCCCGGGAGCAAUCCAUGAAAUGCUGGGAGGACUCUAUGAAAGAAUCCUGGGAGUAAUUCGUGAAGAAAUUCCGGAUGAAAGCCCGGGAGAAGUCCCUGUAGGAAUCCUGUGAGAUAAUCAAGGAAAAUUUCUGAAAGAAUCUAUGAAGGAAUCCUGAUAGAAUCCAUAAACAAAUCUUGGAGUAAUCCCUGGAAGAAUCUCAAAAAGAAUCCCUUUGAAUAUCCUGAUGGAAUCCCUGAAAGAGUCCCGGGAGAUAUCUAUGAGAGAAUUUCGAGAUGAAUCCCGGGAGAAAAUCCAGAACAAAUACAGGCAGAAUCCCUGACACAAUCUCGGGGAUAAUCUCGGGAAUAAUCCUGGGAGUUUCCUGAGAGGAAUUAAUAAAGGAAUCCCUGAUGGAAUCGAGGGAAAACCAAACAAGGAAUCCAAGAACGAAUCCCGAGAGAAAUCUUUAAAGUAUUCCCGAGAAGAAGCCUUGAAACAAGCCGUGAAUCAAUCUCUGAAAGAAUCUCUAAAAGAAACCUGCGAGAAAUCAAUAGUGAAGUCCCGUGAGGAAUCAAUGAAGGAAUUCCGGGAAGAAUUACUGAAGGAAUCCGGUGAGGUAUUCAGCAAGUCCUGGGAGAAGCCCGGGAGAAUAUCCAGGAAAAGGCCUGGAGGGAUCCCUGACGUAAUCUCGGGACUAGACUGUAAAAGUAUCCCGAGAGGAAACACGGAAGAAAUCCUGAGAGGAAUCCCGGUAAGAAUUCCUACAGAAAUCACAUGAGCAAUUCCUGAAGAUAUCCCGGGAGGAGUUCGGGAAUAAAUCUCGGGAAUAGUUCCUGAAAGAAUCCAGGACUGAAUCCCAAAUGAAUCACAGGAGAAAAUCCAGGAAAAGGCCUGAAGGAAUCCCUGACGCAAUCUCGGGAACAAUCCGUGAAAGAAUCCCGAGAGGAAACUCGGCAUAAAUCCCGAGAUGAAUCAAUAGAGGAAUCCCGGGAAGAAUUCCUGAGGGAAUCACGGGAGAAAUGCCUGUAGGUAUCCCGGGAGGAAUUCAGAAAGGAAUCUCGAGAGGAAUUCCUGAAGGAAUCACGGAAGAAAUUGAUGAAGAAAUUGCUGAAGAAAUCCCGGACCGAAUCCCGAAAAGAAGCCCAGGUUGAAUGCCAAAAAAAUAAGGGAAAAUCCUGGAGGUAUCCCUGACGCAAUCCAUGAAAGAAUCCCGGGAGGAAACCCGUAAGAAUUAUGGAGAGGAAUUAGUGAAGUAAUCCCGGGAAGAAUUUAAAAAAAAAAUCAAGGGGGAAAUUUCCUGAAUCUUGGAAAGAAGUUCGGAAUGAAUCCCGGAAAGAAGUCCGGGAUGAAUCCCGGGAGAAAAUCCAGGAAAAGGCCUGCAGGAAUCCCUGACGCAAUCUCUAGAAUAAUCCGUGAAAGAAUCCCGAGAAGAAUCAUUGAAGGAAUCCCGGGAAGAAUUCCUGAGGAAAUCACGAGAGGAAUUCAGGAAUGAAUCUCGGGAGAAAUUCCUGACGGAAUCACGGAAGAAAUUGCUGAAGAAAUCCCGGACGCAAUCCCGGAAAGAAGCCCAGGUUGAAUCCCACGAUAAAAUCAAGGUAAAAUCCUGGAGGAAUCCCUGACGCAACCCGUGAAAGAAUCCCGGGAGGAAACCCGUAAGAAACACCGAGAGGAAUUAGUGAAGUAAUCCCGGGAAGAAUUAAAAAAAAAAUCAAGGGGGAAAUUCCUGAAGGAAUCCCGGGAGGAAUUUAGGAAGGAAUCUGGCGAGAAAUUCCUGAAGGAAUCUCUGUAGGAAUUCCUGAAGGAAUCUCGGAAAGAAGUCCGGGAUGAAUCCCGGAAAGAAGUCCGGGAUGAAUCCCGGAAAGAAGUCCGGGAUGAAUCCCGGGAGAACAUCCAGGAAAAGGUCUGCAGGAAUCCCUGACGCAAUCUCUAGAAUAAUCCGUGAAAGAAUCCCGAGAAGAAUCAUUGAAGGAAUCCCGGGAAGAAUUCCUGAGGAAAUCACGGUAGGAAUUCAGGUAUGAAUCUCGGCAGGAAUUCCUGACGGAAUCACGGGAGAAAUUGUUGAAGAAAUCCCGGACGCAAUCCCGGAAAGAAGCCCAGGUUGAAUCCCACGAGAAAAUCUAGGUAAAAUCCAGGUACGAAAGCGUUGCUUUCAAUUACUCUCACUCUCAUUGAGUCCCGUUGGUAUAGGGGCUAUUGACUGCGACCGGCAAUCACUCGAUCAGGGUUCAAGACCCGCUGGGCGCAAUAGUUGAAAACAUGGGUUGUGAAUUAUAAGACAUUUUUUCAAUUGAUGACGAUGUCGGUAAAGUAGAUUUUUGCUAUUUUCGUCGAUAAAAUAGCUCUGAAUGAUAACUAAUCGAUAACAAAACCAGUAAUCAAUCAGCUGUAUUUUUACAUGUUGAUAACUAAAAGCAAUGUUGAACAAAAUAUUGUAUAACACAAUUAGUUAUCAACUUGAACUCAACGAUAACUUAACUUCUUAUCAUGUUGAUAUUCGAGAAGUAAAUUUGAGUUAUCAUUUUUGUUAUGUUGGCUCUUAAUUCAACAUAAAUGAUAACAAACUCAGUUAUCAAACGAACGAUAACCAGGUAACAGAACUUGUUAUCAUUUUGUUAUUCGCCUUUGCUCGGGAUGUCCCUGACGCAAUUCGUGAAAGAAUCCCGGAAGGAAACCCGUAAGAAACCCUGAGAGGAAUUAGUGCAGUAAUCCCGGGAAGAAUUCUUGAAAGAAUCCCGGGAGGAAUUCAGGAAAGAAUCUGGCGAGAAAUUCCUAAAGAAAUCUCUGUAGGAAUUCCUGAAGGAAUCUCGGAAAGAAGUCCGGGAUGAACCCCGGGAGAAAAUCUGGGAAAAAUAUUGGAGGAAUCCCUGACGCAAUGUCGAGAAUAAUCGUAAAAGAAUUCCGGGAUGAAACCCGGAAGAAAUCCCGAGAGGAAUCAAUGAAAAAAUCCCUGAGGAAUCCCUUACGCAAUCUCAGGCAUAAUCCAUGGAAGAAUUCCAAGAGGAAACAGUGAAGGAAUCCCUGAUGGAAUGCCGGGAAAUGUCCUUGAAAGAAUCCUGGAAGAAAUCCCUGAGAGAAUUCCGGCGAGAGUUCCUAAAGGAAUCCCGGGAGGAAUCAAUGAAGGAAUCAUAGGGGGGACUACCAGAAAGGAAUUUCAAAAAAAAAAUCCUGAAAGUAUUCUUGACAGAGCCCUGGAUUAAUCCCAGGAGAUAUCAAUGUAGAAAAUCCGAAUAAUGGUGAACAGCGGAAUUCCGGAAAGAAUCCCGCAAGAAAUCCCGGGGAAAUUACUUAAGGAAUCUCAUAAAAGACGAAAAAAAAGAAUCACAAGUGAAAUCAAUGAAGUAAUCCCGAAAUCUCUGAAAGAAACCAGGAAGAAAUCACGAAAUAAAUUCAGGAGGAGUCCCUAAAUGAUUCUAAGGAUGAAUAUCUGAUAGAAUAUCGGAAGGAGUCCCAGGAAAAAUUUCUGUAGGAAUCCCGAGAGAAAUCAAUGAAGAAAUGUUGGAAGGAGUAGCGGCAGAAAUCUGUCAAGAAAUCCCAGGAACAAUCGAUGAAAGAAUAACUGAAUGAAUCUUGGGGAGAAUUUCCAAAGAAACCCGACCACAAGCACAUAACAAGAUGUUGUUAGAAAUAACAAUAGUUGAUAUAAUUCUGUUAUAAGGGUUUUUCUAUGUGAAUAUUCAUAACAAAAAUAUAUUAACUUUUGAUAUAACAUUAGUUACAAAAUUAUAACAAAACUUGUUUAAUUUUUCAAACAGAUGUAUAACAACAUUUGUUAUAUUAUGCAUUAUAAUAUAAUAGCCUCUAACAUAAUUUCACAACACGUUUACUGCAAUCUUUGUUAUCUUUUUUGUAAAAAAAAAAUUAUGAAUUUAUAAGAUUUUUUGCGUUGUCGUGAAAAAGAUUGUUAAUUUUUGUUAUUUUGGUCACUCGAGCCAAGAGAUUUAUAACAAAACUUGUAACAAAUUUGUUCUGAAAUAUAUAACAGUUAUAAUUUUGUUACAACUUCGCAAGUUUAGUCAAACAAAAUUUGAUAUAAUCUUGUUAUGAUUAUAUUUCAACUUGUCAUAUUUUUGUUUUAGUUAGAACGAUUUUUGUUAGAGUUUUUGUUAUUUUUUUAGUAUUUAGUAAUAGUAUUUUAUUGAAAACGGUAGCCUGUUAGUACAUAACUUUUGAUCAGGUCAAGGAAGUUAUUUUAAAUACUACCGGUACAUGCUUUAUAGCAAUCGUUGUUACAAAAAUCAUUGUAACAAAAUAACACAACCUGUAAAUUUUGUUUUUCCCAUCUAGUCGGGAACCCCUGUAAAAAUCAUUUCUUCAUUGAUUUUUACAGAGUUUUCUAUAGCAAUUCUUCCCAAGACCAUAAAGGAAUUGUAGGAGGAAUUCCUAGAGGAAUCUGUUACGAAAGUCCGGAAGAAAUUCUAGGGAAAUCCCUGACGGAAUCUACGGAAUAAUUCGUGAAAGAGCUUGAAGGCAAUCCUGGGAGCAAUCCCUAAAGAAAUAACGGGAGAAAACAAUAAUAGAAUCCCUGAUGGAAGGCCGGAAAAUAUCCCUGAAUGUAUCUCGGGAAUAUUCUAAGGGAAUCGCGGGAGGAAUACUUGACAAAAUGCCGUAGGAAUCCCAGGAGAAAUCCCUAAGCGAAACCCAUGACGCACCAAUGGGUUUUUGUAAAGAAAUUCCUAAAAGAAUCCCGAGAGGAACCCGUAAGGGGGCAUCCAUUAAGUACGUCACGCUUAGAGGGGGGGAGGGGGGGUUUGUGAAAGUGUGACAAGCAAUGUAUUAGGUAUAGGAAUACCCCGUACGAAGGGGGGAGGGGGUUGAAAAUUCUUAAAUUUAACGUGACGUACUUAAGGCGAAACUGGAAGCAUUUCCUCACUUUUUGGGUUUUGAUUUUUUAUUAAAUAACGAAGCAAUAUUUUCAAAAUCGGUUUUCGUGCACAUGUAGAGUAUAGAUCAGGGUAUCUCCUGAUUUUUUUUCGUGGUGGAAAAUGUUUUUCGUUUUUGCAAAAACCAUUUUUGAACAAAAUUUCACAAAAAAAUGGUUUCCGCGAAAAUGGAAAACAUUUUCCACCUCAAAAAAAAUCAGAAGAUACCUUGAUCCAUACUCUACAUGUGCACGAAACCCGAUUUUGAAAAUAUUGCUUCGUUAUUUAAUAAAAAAUCAAAGCCGAAAAAAUGAGAAAAUGCUUCCAGUUUAGCCUUAAUGGAUGCUCCCUAAAAGGAUCUCGGGAGCAAUUCUUGGAGGAAUUCUGAAGGGAUUCCAUCAAUACCCGACUAGAAAAAUAUAUCAAGUUUAUAACACCUUGUGUUAUGAUGAUAUGAAAUUUUUCUAUAACUUAUUUUGUUAUAAACUAGAUGCAGGAUGAUGUUAAAAUAACUAAAACUGUAACAAAAAGUACACCGGUCUAAUCAAAAUAAUAACCUAUUUUGUUAUAAUCAGAACAAAAUUAUAACACAAUAUGAUAUAAAUCAUAGCUUCAUAAAACUAGUUUCUAUCAUAUUUUGAUACAAUUCUGUAAAAUGAUGUUCUGAAUGUCAAAGAAUCAGAACUAAAUUAUUUCACAAUGAGUUAUUGAACAACAUUUAUAACAUAAAAUGAUACAAUUGAGUUAUAAUAUUUUCAAACACCAAUGAUGUUAAACAUGAUUAUAUCACAAUGAGUUAUACAUAUCAUGGUUUGUUAUAAUUAUGUUAUAUUGUUGUUAGAAUCUUCUAGUCGGGUAACCCUGCGUGGAAUACCGGGAAGUAUUCCAGGAGAAAUAAAAGGUGAAACCUGGUAGGAAUCCUAGGAGACAUCCAUUGGAAAUUAUCGGUAGGAAUUGCUGAAUAUUUCUUAAAUAAAUCUCUGCAGGAGGCCUUGUGUACAUAGACCAAAACAUCCGUAAUAUAAAGUACAUUUAGUGCACAUUUUUUUUGCUGGAAAUCUUUUCUACGUAUGGCUCUUUUACACUUCAACAGUAUUGUCAAAGACGCCCCAUCUUUAUAUCUCUGCCAAUUGGUACCCCCCUGAAACCUACUGAAACCUCCUGAUCCAAUUGUGAAUGCUUGAAACAUCCUUGAAACACUCUGGAAGCCUAGUGAAACAUUUUUGAAACCCCCCUUGAAUCCUCUUGAACGCUGUCUGGAACUCCUGAAAGUCCCCUUGAAACCCCUUUAAUCUCUCGAAACCCUUCGAACCGCUUCUGAAGCCCUACCCGACUAGAAAAUUGUAACAAAAAUAUAAAAUUGUUAUAACAAACUAAGAUAUGUAUAACUCAUUGUGAUAUAUCAUGUUCAACAUCCAUGAUGUUUUAAAAAUUCUAUAACUCAAUAAUAUCACAUUAAGUUAUGGUUGUGUUUUGGUAACUCUUUGUAAUAUAAUUUAGUUUUGAUUCUCCGACAUUUAGAAAACAAAGUUUCAAAACUGUAUCAAAUUUUGAUAGAAACUAAUAGGGCUGAAGCUAAAAUUUAAUAUCCCAUUUUGUUAUAAUUUUGAUCUUAUUAUAACAAAAAAUAGGUUCCCGACUAGAAGAUUCUAACAGAAAUAUAUCACAAUUAGAAAAUAAUUUUACACAAUUAUAUCAAAAUAUGAUAGAAACUAGUUUUCUUGAAGCGGAAAUUUAUAUAAUAUUGUGUUAUACACUGAAUUCUUUUUUUACACGAUCUUUUUUUACGCGGUUUUAUUUUACACGAUUUUUUUUACACGAUUUUCUCGAAAUUACGCGAUGUGUUUUUGGAAAGAUUCUUCUCUCCUGGUCGCAAUUUACUUCCGAUAGGGCUCAAAUUUCUACCAGAGAUCUCUCUUAUCAUCCUUGAUACCCUGUCAAAAUUUUAGGAUGAUCCGAUAAAAAAAGUUUUGAAAACUUUUUUUACACGAUUUUUUUUACGCGGAACAAAAAAUCGCGUAAAAACAGAAUUUAGUGUAAUUUUGAUCUUAUUAUAACAAAAUAGGUUAUUAGUUUGGUAUACUUUUUGUUACAAUUUUAGUUAUUUUAACAACAUCCUGCAUCUAGUUUAUAACAUAAUAAGUUAUCGAAAAUUUGUAUAACAACAUAACACAUUGUGUUAUAAGCUUGAUAUGUUUUUCUAGUCGGGUUAUUAUCUUGAUUAGGCCAGUGUACUUUUUGUUGCAUAUUAAGUUCUUUUAACAGCAUCCUGCAAGUAUUUUAUAACAUAAUAAGUUAUAGAAAAACAUAUUAUAACAUCAUAACAGAAUAAGAUAUAAAUUUGAUAUAAUUUUCUAGUCGAGUGUGUACACUCUUCCUGGAAGGACUUUCAAUCCCUUUGAAGCGCCCCCUUUGAAACGAAACUCCGUGAAACGUCCCUGAAACCCUGAUUUCCAAGGCGCCUCAGAGAGCUCCCGUUAAAGCUUCCCUGGACCCUCUGCAACGUCCUUAAAACGCUCCUGAAACGUCUCUGAAACACUUUGAACCAUCUGACCUUUUCUCUCAAGCUUUAUGACGGGAUCUACUAAGAAUCUGCUAAUAAAUUGAUAUUGUAUCGAAACUUUCACAAAAAUCUCGUAGAAUUGAAUCGCUUCCAAUACUUGGCCUUCUAACCGCUGGCUGCUGACAGCUUCCAACAAAUGCUAACGGAAUUCGAUACCAUCCAGUAGAGCCACCAAGAACCUGAAACGGAUACCUAGGCAUAUAUUGCAUCCGCCAAAUUAGCUCGCUUCCAGCAGCCCACAGUUGCGGAGGUAUCGAAGUGAAAACAAUGGCUGCUGAGCAAAGCAGCACGGUCUUGCAAAUCGUUACCUACCUACUUCAGGGCGAGUGUUAUAGGACGACCGAGCACAAGGCGGUUCCUGGAAUCGCAAGCAUCACUUCAAUCGGUGGGUCGGAUCGGUGUACCACAAUCGUCUUGCAGGUCGUCGUAUUCGAUAAAUUCCAACGACAAAUCUGAAUCACAGUCAGAUUUCCACACUGGAAUAAAAGCUUAUUGCGAUUUUCAUGUGGGCCAUUUUUGAAAAUUUUUCUAUAGUACUAUUACAAGUUUUAUUUUUGUGUUAAAUGUGCUAUUUUAACUUGUUAAUAUUCCCCUAGAAUUAAUGCACAUUUAUAGGGCUCUGGCAGAAUAGAGGCCAACAAUCUUAUUUCGAUUGCCAACAUUCAGGCCAUUUCGGACCGUGAUUAAGUACUAGAGAUGUAAACCUUUCCCUGGCACAGACUUCAAGUUAUAGAACUCUAGUGAUGAAACCCGAAUCUGGAUGCCCCUUAGGAUUCGAAAUUCCUAGACAAAACUCAAGCUAUGAAAGCAACUAAUGCUGCGAACAAAAGGCAACCUGCCAGAGAAAAUACGAUUACAGGAUUGACUGAUGGGCCAACAACAUUAAUGAAACCUCGUCAUCCUGCGAUUGGUAAUUGUUAUCCAAUAGGAUAACAGGGCAAAAUUCAUGUUGUGUUGUGUUUGUCCAAAUGUAAUGUCCUAAUUUAUUACGCAUUUAUAAGGUUCCACUACAAGAUGUUAUAUGUUAAUAUGCAUUUGUAGUGCUCCAUCAUUUUUUCGUAAUAAUGGCGCCCAACGUCGGCACGGGUUUUGUAGGUGUCCAUGUUAUGGCGCCCAACCGCAAAACCCACGCGGGCAUUGUAAAUAGUGUACAUAUAGCAAUAGUAUUAGAUUAGCCUUGUGUUUAGAUGUAGAAGAUUUUUCGUCGCGAUCGUGACGGAGUACGGAAAUGGGAAACUUUGCCUGUUCUGCACAACUACGUUGUGAAGCAAGUUUCCAUUUCUUUUGUGUUGAGUUUAUUUAGUUAAUCCAAGAUCGAUAAUCCAAUGAUGGAAUUUUUCUGAUCGAUUUGGAAUUUUUGUUUGAGUUUGUACUAGUGCCGCCAAGAUCGAAAAUCCAAUGAUGGAAUGUUCUGUUUGAUUUGGAAUUGAAGCCUACGUACAGUUUUGUUGUGUUUCUGGUGUAUUGCAGUAGGUCUAGCCGAACCAACUUCAAGGUCUUCUACCAGGACAGAAGAGUUUCUGUUGAAGUUGGAUGUAAGUUAUAUGUUAAAGGUACCUUUAUAUAAGUUUUUAUAUAAUUUAAGUACGUACGAAAUUUUUGUGGAUGGUUUCAUCCACAAAAAUUUCUUUUCCGUUGGGUGUGGUUGUAUUACAAGUUUUAUUUUUGUGUUAAAUGUGCUAUUUUAACUUGUUAAUAUUCCCCUAGAAUUAAUGCACAUUUAUAGGGCUCUGGCAGAAUAGAGGCCAACAAUCUUAUUUCGAUUGCCAACAUUCAGGCCAUUUCGGACCGUGAUUAAGUACUAGAGAUGUAAACCUUUCCCUGGCACAGACUUCAAGUUAUAGAACUCUAGUGAUGAAACCCGAAUCUGGAUGCCCCUUAGGAUUCGAAAUUCCUAGACAAAACUCAAGCUAUGAAAGCAACUAAUGCUGCGAACAAAAGGCAACCUGCCAGAGAAAAUACGAUUACAGGAUUGACUGAUGGGCCAACAACAUUAAUGAAACCUCGUCAUCCUGCGAUUGGUAAUUGUUAUCCAAUAGGAUAACAGGGCAAAAUUCAUGUUCUGUGUUGUGUUUGUCCAAAUGUAAUGUCCUAAUUUAUUACGCAUUUAUAAGGUUCCACUACAAGAUGUUAUAUGUUAAUAUGCAUUUGUAGUGCUCCAUCAUUUUUUCGUAAUAGUACUUUGAAACAAAAAAAAUCUGAGGAUUACAUAUCGUGUGAACUUCAUCAUGACCGUGAGAACUUCAAACCAUGUACAUUCACAUGUUAUGUAAAUUUUUGGUAUGUAACAUGUAAACUAAUUACAUUAGAUUACAUGACAUAAUCACAACUUAAAUUUACAUGACAUAAUGAAAGGAAAUCAAGUGUCUGUUACAAAACUUAAAGAAAAUAAUUAUUACAAAGUAUUAACAUUCCACAACACAUAGAACCUUACAAAUGCACAAACAAGAGACAAUACCAAUUAGAGACAGGACAACACAAAACAUAAAUGGGCCCUGUUAUCCAGAUGGAUAACAACUUCCGAUCACAGGAUGACACAACAUUAAUCAUCCUGGAAUUGUAUUUUAGUUGGCAGUUUGCCUUUUAGUUCACAGCAUUUGUUGCUGUGUUCAUAGCUUGGUUUUGUCUAGGAAAACUAAUCCUAAUCGGGCAUCUCGUUUCGGGUUUCGUCACUAGAGUUCUAUCAAUUGAAGUCUGUGCCAGGAAAAGGUUUACGUCUCUAGUAUAUUAAUCGCGGCCCGAAAUGGCCUGAAUGUUGGCAAUCGAAAUAGGGCAUCUAUUCUGCCAGAACCCUAUAAAUGUUAAUUAAUACAAGGGGAAUAUUUUCAAGUUAAAAUUCAACAUGUAACACAAAGAACGCACGAAUAUUAAACUUUGAACACAUUAAACAAUUAUUCUGUCUUAUUAAUGUAACAAAUAUUUAUACCCGUAACAUGUCUCCUGUCGUAAUUCCGUCGGUAAAUCCUAUAACAGUCAUAUGAGCAGUUUUCUCAGUGAACAAAGGGGUCGACUCGCCCUACCCCUCCUAGGAGACAAAUAUACUUUGGAAAAGCAUAUCGGCUUGUGAAAUUCGACGUUGUCUAAUCAGAUGGAAAUUGGCAGCCAUCCAGUCGUCGUCGUCGUCGUCGUCGUCGUCGUCGUCGUCGUCGUCGUCGUCGUCGGAGAUACCUAUCGACAUUCAAAUAUUUCCCAUUCGAUUGAGCGAUCCAUCCGUACGGUUCUUUUGUUUGGGAGAGAGGGAUGACACAGUGCGGAGACACCGCUGUCGGUGGUCGUGAUGGGAGUUCUAUUCACGCGAAGCGGUAUCCUUGUCAGCAGGUUUCGCUAUCACUUUUACGCCCGAUCGGGCGGGACCAAUCGACCGGAUGGUAUUCAAUGUGAUGCGACGUGAUAGAAAGUCACUUUCCUUUGCAUGUCGUGAGAUGUCGUGUGAUUUCUCUUGAAAAUCUGUCUAGAUUCUUGCUUAAUUUUUAUCUAGUAAAGCUUAUGAAGCCGGUGUUUGUUAUUUUCAGCAAAAACUACAUGGUAAACUCACGUGUCAUGCCUCGAGCAUGUGUGCUUGUCAACAGCGCAAUUUUUGCUACGCUCGUCUCUGAACUAUCAGAUAUAUGCUUUAGUACACACUUUCCAGGAUGUGUGGACAUUGCAUCUUCAGAUGAACCUGAUGCCUUUUCUAGUAGUUAUGAUUCCCUGACUUCGGCUCGGAUUAUCGUAACUAUAGAAUCGAUUUAGUGGGCACUCAAUAGCUUUGAACUUUUCAAAUCUCCUGGAGCAGAUUAAAUAUAUCCCAUUUCGCUUCAGAAGAGAUUUGAUUAGUUCAAACUAAUUUUUGAAAAAAACUUUUUGAUUGCAGUUUUGCUACAGGGUAUUUUACCAUAUCUUGGCGGGAUAUUACUAUAAAGUUUAUUCCGGAAGUGGAUCAUGCAUCGCAAGAAGAAGCACAGAGAUUGAGGCCUACCACUGUCUUUUCCUCUCGAAUGCUUAGAACAACGCAUUGUAGAUCACUACAUCCGUGAUGUUCAUCCUGGCUAACGUGCCUUUUCAUGUGAACCAACAUGUUUACUAAUCUGGAAAGUCCACUGUGAGGCUUUUACACACAACUGUUUACGAUAUCGAGAAGGCAUUCACUCAAAAGCAAUCUUCUUCGAUAUCGAGGCCACACGGAGUCAUGGUAUAUCUCCAAUGAUGUCCGAUUGGAUUUGACAAAUGCUCAAAACCCGACAUUUCUUCUCGGCAUUGCUUCAAACAGCGAUUAGGAAAAUUGAAUGUUUACGGAUGCCUCCAAGGGGGAGCCUUGUCACAACUUUUGUGGAAUCUCGUAGCAGAUACGCGAUUGAUUAAUGGCACAAAUUUCCCAAAUGGAGAAGACGGAAGAAGUUGAGGCGUUCAAUGGUUCUUACGUCCUUUUCACAUGUUGGUCUAGUAAUGUUCCGACUAUAUGGUUCUCUAGGGGAUGUUUUACCUUUAUUUUUUUUGUUGGCUGUUCAGGUGCGUAUGAGGUUGAUCAUCAAUAUCAACUUCUUUUCCCGAUCAGCAUAGAUUAUGGGUCAGGUCAAUCCAUAUGAAGUGACCGAGGAAAGGUGGAAACGUGUUAUCGACCAUCGCGAUUUUUUACCAAAUUUUGUUGGAAUGUUUGCUCAAAUGGAGGAAGAAAAAAAUGCAAGUUUUGGUGCCGAACGGAACACCCCUCGGCCCGUGGUAGCACCCCUCGUCUUUGCCAAGGCAAGAAAAAUCCAAGUUUUCCCUUCCUUUCCUUAACUUAUAGCUUUGAAACUGUAAUACAGUAAUUGACAUUCGUUUAGCCGAGGCCCAAAUUUUUUCAAAAAAGUGUCGGGAAACUCAUACAAAAGAUUUUAUGAUAAAACUUUUUAAUUGCAGUGAUAGUAUAUCUAGUACUGAUUUAUGAAUAGAUGAUACAUCACACUUACAUACAUAUACACUGAAACAAAAACGAGAGUAAAAACCCUUCUAAUGUCAUUUUUUUCCUAGACAUUCGUUUAGCCGAGGUAAAUGAAAAAUUUGUUUUUAAUAGAUUUUUUGUAAUUUCGUGAAUAUAUUUCGAUAUACCCCAAGGCAUUUAGUUUAUGACGUGUUAGCAAGAUAAUUGACUUUAAAGUUUUUUUAUUUGUGAAAUUCAAUGAUAUAUUAUAAAAAUUUAUCCCGAUAAGGAGAAACGAUGAUAAAUGAAUUUAUUUAAGGAAAAUGCUUUCUGUAAACACUCCAAUGUAAGCUAUAAUAGUUGUUUUGAAAAUAUGGCACAGAAUUAUUGUUAGAAUUGAUUAACCCUCUACAGGAAACCUUAAAUGAUGGUGCAUUACGGAAACCUGGGGUCCAUUUGGACCCCAAAUUCGUUCUCCUAUAUUGUAUGAUCCUGACUUAUUAGAAUAUCGGUGUCUUCAGUAAAGUUGUUGAGUUUGUCAAGGACUUACAGAUGCUGGACCGUUCAAUUCGCAAUUUCAUAUAUAGGUGGCGCUAGUGAGCAGGCCCGGAUUAAGGAUUGUGGGGGCCCGGGGCCGGAGCAGAUGUGGAGGCCCCUCGGGGCUACAUAUGCGAUGAGCAAGUAAGUUUUUCUUUGUUUUUGAAAAAUAAAGUUAAUGUUCAGCAAGCAAAAACGAUUUUUGUGGGGGCCCCUAAAUUGUGCCCCCCCCCCCCGGCACCCCCUUAGAUCCGGCCCUGCGUGAGCAUGUAAGUAUUGAGUAUUUGAGCACAUAUAUAUGAAGAUCCUGACCACGUAGAAUUUUGGUGUCUUCAGCAAAGUUGUUUAUUAGGUAAAGUGUUUACUAAUGAUGGACCGUUUGUUUGAAAAUUUCACACAUAGAUGGCGCUACUGAGCGUGCAAAUUUUAUAUUAAUAUAUCUUCGGCAGAGUUGUUGAGUUGCUCAAGGACUGCCAGAUGCUAAUCCGUUUGAUUCGGAACUUCACACAUAGGUGGCGCUAGUGAGCAUGUAAAUAUUAAGUAUAUGAUCACAUUUAUAUCAAGAUCCUGACCACAUAGAAAUUUGGUGUCUUUGACAAAGUAGUUUAUAGGGUCAAGUGAUUACUAAUGAUGGACCGAUUGUUUGAAAAUUUCACACAUAGAGGGCGCAACUAAUCGUGCUUAUUUUAUAUUUCAUAUACAUAUAAGGAUCUUGAGCACCUAGAAAGAUGAUAUCUCCGGCAAAGUUGUUGGUUACAGGUGAUGUACCGUUUGAUUAGGAACUCCACGUAUAGGUGGCGUUACUGAGCACGCAUAUUUCAUAUAUCUUAUAUAUCGCAGGAUUCUUAUCACUUCGAAAGAUGGAGUCUUCGGAAAAGUUGUUGCGUAGGCCAAGUACUUACUGACCAUGGGCCGUUAAAUUUGGAAAUUCGCCAUACGUAGAUGUCAUUGGUCAGCAUGCAAAUUGUAUAUGUCAUAUAUUUCAGGUUUCUGAGCUCAAAGAAGCAUGGAGUCUUCGGCAAAGUUGUGGGGUAGCCCGAGCAGAGGGGAAUAUCAAAUUAAUAACUACGAAAUUACAAAACCUGUUUUUAUAUCUCGUUUUGUUAUUAUUGUAUUAUCAAGGCAUUACAUUUCCAUAACAUGUUUUGUUGGACAAUCUUAUUUUGUUAUGAUCAAGCUAUUGGUAUACAGUUUGUAUUUUAACUUAAAUGCUAAUUCUACACUCAAUUAUUGGUAUACAGCCAUUAAAUAACAUUUCAAUAUUACAUUUUGUUGUGGAACAAGUUUGAUUAUUAUUGUAUUAUUGAGAGUGUACAAAUACUUUAUGCUAUCCCAAGGAACAGAAGUAACUGAACAACAGAUUCUUAAGCUAAAGUUUGCUUAAGAAUUGUUGAUUCCAUUCUUAUACAGCAAAAAUGUAUUUAAAAUGUAUAUAUUUAAAAUGUAUAUUUUUAAUGGCACAAAUGUCCCAAAUGAAGAAUAACGUGCCUCUGGAGCCGGCCUUCUGAUACGUCAUUCAACAACGUUAUUUACAGUAUUUCGCGAGUUAUGCUUCAGAAAUAUUUUAUUUAUUUAUUUAUUUAUUUUCAACUCUAAAUUUGGGAAGAGGGAAAACCCCCUUUGAGUGAUUUCGAAAACUAUGCAUGAAAUCGUUCUCAAAAAUGCACAAAACCUCUUAUCUUUUUGAAAAACAUUAUAAACAAUAUUUAAAGCUAAAUAAAGGCUCUUCCGGAAAUAAUCCAUAGCUGAGCCGUAAUCUUGAAAAGAAUUCGUCAAACGAUGAUAAUGAUCCGAGGUACUCUGUAUGGGGACCGAAAUUCGAAUGCUGAAAAUAUAAGAGAAAUAUUUUAUAUUUUCUCAUGUUUUCCUUGUCGUUCCAGAGGAUGAAGUCGGAUCUACCUAUUUGUGGUAAAAGAUUACAUGAAUAGUUGAAAAUACGCCUAUGAGGGAAGAGAGAAACUAAAGUUCGCAAUGAUUGUUCCGCCAUUCUCACAUGCAAGUCUAAAUAUGUGUAGUAUUCUCAGCCAACACGAAGUCAUAUAUGAUGUACACAGAUCGAAAAAAGAAUGUAAAAUUCUGUGACAUUUGAUGCACAUGUUUGGAGCGUGGGAUAUCACAGAAGUUUACAUGAUAUAUCUUGUAAAAGUCAUAAAAUAUCAUGUAAACUUCCAUUAUAUGUCAUGUAAUUCUUCAUGACUCUGAGUUUUUACAUGGCAUAUAACACAAAUUCACAUGAUAAAUCAUGUAAACCAUCAUAACACUAAGUUUACAUGACUAAAAUGAAGUUUACAUGACGUGUAAAUCUCAUUAUUUUUAUCUGUGUAGAAAAGGAUGCUAAUGUGGAGGCCAUAUGAGUACAUGAUUUCAUUUAACCACGGGUAAAGUGUACGCAUAUCGCCUCCACUUUAGCAUCCUAUUCAACAGCAUGUGCGAUUGUUCGAUAUCAUAACUAAUUUUGCUUUCGGGAUGUUAUCAUUAACUCUUUAAUAUCAAAACUUGUUCUUGAAAUAUUUCCAAAAUUCACUGUUAUUAAGUUGUUAUUGACACUAACAAAACAUGUUAUUAAAUUGAUUUUCCAGGAACAAAUUUUUGUUAUGUGACUUGUUAUUUUGCCGCUUAUGACAGACAAGUUUAUAACUCAAUAUGUUAUGUUAAUAACAUAAAAAUAACUAAUUCCAUUAUGCAGAUAUUUUGCCAAAAUAACGCAUUUUGUUAUGCUGUUGUUAUUCUCUUCUGCUCGGGAGAUCAACGACUUACAGUUGAUGGACCGUAUAAUUCGGAACUCCACAUGUAGGUGGCGGUACCGAGCAUGCAAAUUAAAUAUCUCAUAUAUCUCAGGAUUCAUUGCCAUACCUUUCAGGUUUACCCAUUUUGCUGAACAAGUUACUUUUUGCGUCGUGGUUCAUGCUGUGAUAAUAAGUACAAUUUAUGUGUGGGUAUAUGUGGGUAUAUGGCAUCGUCAAACAUACUCGAUGGUGUGACAUACUGUUUAAGCAACAGAGAGAGCUGCGCUGGAGUUGUAGUAGUAAGCGUGAUUAUCUCGCACCCCAGAUGGUCUAGGUUCUCUCGUAAUUUGUGAGACAAAAAUAUCUGUUCACGUCUUCAUUUGUAUGUACAGCCGUUGGUCUCGGCCCAUGUUUUGAUGGGUUUGAAAUGUAGAGUGUCAUGUGUGUGUGGGCUUAGUACCAUAAAUAGGCGGAAGUAAAACUAUAACUAAUGCCGAACGGUGCGCCAAUAUAUUUCAGCUGAGUCAAAUGUUUUUCAAAGACCAAUAUUUUAGUCAUUUAUGUACACAAUUUGAUUUCAUUCGAUUCCUGAGAUGUAGCAGUUUAAUAAACAGUUAUGAAAUUAGAAUUAUUCUACUAGCAACACUCCAACUUUGGGUUGAGUCAACCAAUCAAGCCCAAAAAAUGUACCAAUUAUAGCUAACCAGUUGGGAAACCUGCAGUCAAAAUUUGAGAGUUUUUGGUGCAUUCAAUAAAAAGUUACAGCUUGUUGAAAAUUUUCUAGCCCAUAAUAAAAGUUUGCAUGCUCAUGCAAAUUUACAACUAGCGCAACCUAGUGGCAGAAACUCGAAUCAAACAAUAAUUCCAAUGAAAGCCCUUGAUCUACCACACAAUUUUGCCGAACACACCAUAUUUCCAAAUCAUUAGGAUCCUGAGAUAUGUACAAUUUGAAAUUUGUUUGCACUCAAGAGCCGUCUAGCGGUGGAAUUCCGAAUCAUACGUACCAUCAUCUGUAAGUCCUUUACCAACCAAACAGCUUUGCCGAAGACACCAAAGCUCCAUGUAGUCAGGGUCCUGAGAUAUAAUAGAUUUAAAUUUCGUUACUAUUACAUCUGUUUGUCUGUGAUUUCUGUGAUGUCAAAGACAAGUAGACGUAACACUGACAAAAUUUCAAUCCCAUAUAUUUAGAGAGUUGGUGUUACGGCAAAGUUAUUCAGCUGCUCAAGAACUUUUCGAUGAUGAGCCGUAUGAUUAGAAAUUCUACCACUAGGCGGAGCUAGCGUGAGAACAAAUUUUAAAUUUUACAAAUCUCAGGAUCCUGAUUAUUUAGAAAUAUGGUAUCUUCGGUAAAGCUGUUAGGAAGAUCAAGGACUUUCAGUUGAAUUAUUAUUUGGUUCUAGUUUCUGUCAUUAGGUGGCGCUAGUAGCAAAUUUACAAAAACCAUAGAAAUUUUAAUGAUUAGCCAGAAAAUUUUAAACAAGCUAUAACUUCUUAUUAAGUACACCAAAUUUCACUGCAGUCCAAUAAACUACUAUAUCUUACGGUUAAGUUAACCAAAUUUAAUGAAAUUUUGAAAAUGUAUGAUUAAUAAACUGGUCUUUGAUUACCAUUUGACUUGACUCAAAUUUGUCUGAAGGGAAUAAAGUUACAGCUUGUUGAAUACAUUUUGUGAAAUUCUAAUAAUUUGCAACCUAUUUGUAACCUAUUUGUAACUAAAUUUGUAACUAGCUUCGCCUAGAGAUGAAAUUUUGCAUCAUCAAACUGUAAGCCCUUAACUUACCAAACAGUUUUGCCGUGGAAACCAUCUUUCUAAGUAACCAGCGCCCUGAGAUUAAAAAAAAUACUGAUGCCACCUAUGAGCAAAAUUCAGAGUAUAACGACUCAUCACAAUUUAAUUUUUACAGUUGCACUGACGUAAGAACUACACGACACACAUAACACGCGGCGCGAGACAAGACAUAACACUUAUCGUUCUUACAAUCGCCAAGAAAAGAUUAAAAAUUACCUUUACGUCGACUGGUUUCGGGCGUGAUCUAGCCCAUCUACAGGACAAUGUUAUGUGUAACGACUCAUCAUUUAUAAGUUCUUGCAACUUAUUUGCAGAAUCUUCAAUUUUACUAAAUAAACUGGAUCCUGAUGUAUAAAUGAUUCAAAAUGUGUAUACUCACUAGCGUCACCUCUGACACUAGAGGUUCGAAUCAAACGGUUCAUUAUCUGUAAAUUCUUUACCUACCAAACAUCUUUGCUGAAGAUAGUAGAGACGGUAAUAACUCUCUUAGGAUCCUGGGAUAUUUGAAGUAUAAAGUGGCGCCACAUAUGUUUGGAUUUCCGAAUCAAAUUUUGCAUCAUCUGUAAGUUCUUGACCUAUGAAACAACUUUGCCGAACACACCAUCUUUCUAUGUGAUCAGGAUCUUGAGAUAUAGGGGAUAUAAAAAUUGCAUGCUCACUAGCGCCACCUAUGUGUGGAGUUUCAAAUCAAACGGCCCAUCAUCUGGAAGUAAUUUACAAACACAACAACUUUCUCGAAGGCGUCAUCUUUCUAAGUGGUAAGGAUCCAGUGAUAUAUGAGAUACAAAAUUUACAUGCUCACUAGCACCACCUAGGGGUGGAAUUUCGAAUCAAUCGGUAUAUUAUCUGUAAGCGCUUGACUUACUGAACAACUUUCCCGAAGACGUGACGUUUCUACAAGCUCUAGAUCUUCCGAUAAUUUCGUUUGAAGACAUUAUAUUACUAAAUUGUUAAUGCCAAAUAGCGCCAUCUAGUGGGGAAAUUUCGAAUAACCCAAUUCACCGCCAGAUGGCGCAUGACUUACCGAACAAAUUUGCCGAAGACAUGAAUAUUCUAAAACAUCAGAAUCAAAAGAUAUAGAGAAUUCAAUCUGGGGUCCAUAUGGACCCCAGGUAUACAAAAUCGCCCGGUUCAAAUUUGACAUGGAAUAAACAUCAAAGUAUGCCAUGAAAUCAACUUUAUUUUUGCAUAAACAAUAGAACUAGGUCUAGUUUGACGGUAUUGAAAAAUUAAAGUCAAUACACUGAAACCUCCAUUUAAGUCGAUGCAUGGCUGAUCGAAAAUAUUUUUUACCGUACAGGCAAUGACUAAACUAUACAGUUUUAUAUUUUUUGACAGAUCUCCUUUGUCAUGCGAAGUGUUAAAAAAUAUAAAAGUCUUCAGUUUUGUCACUGUUUGUACGGUAAAAAUUAUUUUCGAUCAGCCAUGCAUCGACUUAAAUGGAGGUUUCAGUGUAUGUUAUACCCAACUUGUUUGCCAUUACUCCAAAGUUGCCUGGGGUCCAAAUCGAACCCCUACCCAUAGCAUUGUACGGUUUUACGCUUGGUGACGCUAACCGCACGGCCACAAGGGUCCACAAAAUAAACUUCCUAAACAUUCUUUUAUGAAUUCCUGGAGGAAUCCUUAGAGAAAUUUCUAGAGGUACACUGGGAGGAAACCCUGAAGGAAUCUCUGGAAGAAUGUCUUCCAGCUUUUCCGUAAAAAUCCUUAUAAGAAUCUUUGAAAGACCCUGUAGACAAAUUUCUGAAGGAAUCCUUGGAGGAUUUUCUAGGACUUUCUUAAUAAAUCCUUGGAGCAAUUUUUGGAAGAGAAAUGACUUGAAGGAAUAUCUAAAGGAAUGUGAAGAAAUCUUGGGAAUUUCCUUUACAAACUCUUGUAGAAUUUCCAAAGCAAUCCCUGGAGAAAAUUCUUUAGAGAGCUUCUGAGAAAAUUUUGAAGGAGUUCUGCAUUUAUGAUUGUUAAUGUAUCCGUGAAUUAUUUUCUAAAAAAAUCCAUGGAGUAUGCUUGAUAAACUUCAUGAAAGAUUUUCUAGAUUUAUGCUUCGGAAAAUUUCUGAUUCCUCCAUGUAAAAAAACCCGAAGAUGUCGUAGAUGAAUUUCUGGAACAAUCUAUGCAAGAAUUUUUGAAAAGAAUUCUUGAAGUAUUUUCAAAAGGAAUCCAUGCAACAUUUUUGGAAGCUAUCCGUGAAAGACUUUCUUAAGGAGUUCUUGGAAAAAAAUCUGGAGAACAUUCUAAAGUCUAAAGGAAUCCCUAGAAGAUUUUGUGAAAGAAUUUCUGACUGAAUUACUUUAGGAUUUCCUAGAUUAUUUUUUAAAGUAAAUCUACGAGGAGUUUCCAAAGGAGUCCCUGGAAAAAUUUCAUUAAGAAUCUCUGGGGGAAACUCGUGGAAGAUUUUUAAAAUUAAUCAUAGGAUGAAUUUCAGCAAGCGUCCAUGAAAGAAUUAUUGAAAAAUCUGUGAAAGUUUUUACAAAGUAAUCCUUGGAGAAAUUUGUAAAGAAAUCUGUAGAAAAAUCUGGAGAUAUUUCUGAAGUAAUUAUUAGACAAAUUUAUAAUAAAAGCCAUGGAAGAUUUUCUGAAACAAUCCCUCGAAAAAAAUGCGAAGGAACCCCCAGGGCAGUUGCUAUAGGAAUCUCUGCAGAAAAUUCCCGAAUGGAUCUCACAUUGUUUUAGAAAGAGUCCCUGGAGGAAUUUCUAAAGAAAUCCCAGGAAGAUUUCCUGACGGAAAUUGUUAAACUUGUGGAGGAAUUCCUGGUGGAAUAUCUGGAUUGGAAGUUGCUGAGAAAUUUCUGGUGAAACCGUAACACCAAAGUAACUCCAGUACACAUUUUUGAAGGAACUUUUGAAACAUUUUCUGAAAAAUCUGUAAUAGUUUCUGAAGUUUUAUUGAAGAAAUCUCUGUAGAAAUUUCUGAAUAAAUGUCUAAAGAAGGAAUCUCUGAACGAAUUUUUGAAAGAAUUCCUGGAGGAAUUUCUGCUCAAAUUCAUGGAUAUUUUUUGGAAAUAAAUGGAUGAAUUUCUGAAGUAGAUCACGCAAGAUGCUUUGAAAGAAUUCUUUGUGAAAUUUGUAGAAAAGGAGGAACUUCUAAAGAAAUCCCUGAAGAAAAUUUCCGAAUGAAUCCAUGGCAGAUUUUAUUGAAAUUGAGGGAAUUUUUGAUCGAAUGCACGAACAAAUUUCAGAAAGAUUUUUUUAAGAUUUUUAAGAAGAAUUUCUAAAGAAAUUUUUGGUAGAUUUUCCAAAGGAAUCUCCAAUACAUUCUGCAAACGAAUGCCUAGAAAUAUUUCUGAAGUAAUCCCUGGGCGAAUUUCUCAAACAAUCUCUGAAAUGAUUUAUGAAAAAUCAUGGAGAAAUUGGAGGCGAUUCAUGUCAGAUUUCGUAAAAGAAUUCUUUGUGACACUUCUGGAGGAACACAUGGAAGAAUUUCUGAAAUAAUUUGUAACAUGAUGAUUUUAUUUGGGAAGUUUUGAAAAUUCUUAGAUCACUUACUUUUAUUUGACACCGCAGAAUUGCAACAAAAGGACCGAGCAGAUAGCGGUUCAAACCUACACUACUCGUAUAGAAAGAACAUUCGGCAAAUACAGCACAGUAAGCAUUAAUCACACUCUAUCCAGUGCUUGUCAUUAAUUUCUAAAUUUCCGAAGAAACUCCUUCAGGCAUUUCUGAAGGGAUUCCUGCAGGAAUUUCUGAAGCAAUUCGCUAAGGAAAAUUUUUGAAGCAAUUCGUAAAGGAAUUCCAGGGUAAAUCCUCGGAGACAUUUUCAAAGGAAUCUCUGAAUGAAUUUCUGAAACUUUUGAAUUUCUUGGGACAUUUACGCAAAUAACGUUAUUGUGUAUUAUUAUUGUUGGCUUUUGAAUCAACCAUACAUAUUUUUGGAGACAAGAGAUUUCGAUCGUAACAAGCUAGCGAGAUAGUGGUUUAAUCGUUAUUUAGCGAGAAUUACUAAUACAAUACCAAAAACUCCGAUCCUUUUAUCGAAAACUCAGUGUUCAUGCAGUUUUUGUAUGUUUUGGUACAUUUUGGUAUGCAAUUUAAAUUGCUUCAAUUUUAUGUAAAAUUCGAUUUUAUAGACAUUUCGAAAAUUGAAAUGUCCACUAAAUCGAGAUAUACCUGUAUUCGUUUUGAAUAUAUGCUUCAAGUGUUCAUUUUAUUUUAUCAGAAACAAGCUGUCCCGGCAAACGUCGUACUGCCUGCAUACAGUGUUUAUUGUAUGGGAGCCCCCCUUCCCAGAUAUGGGUGGAGUCUCCCACCAUGCUAAAAACUUUCCCCGGUCCUAAAAAUCCUUGCAUAGAAAUUUUCACGCCAAUCGGCCCAGUAGUUUGCGAGUCUAUAAGGGUCAGACAGAAAGACAGACAGGAAUUCAUAUUUACAUAUAUAAAUUGAUAUACUCAUAGUUGAAGAACUGGCAACACUGUCAUAUUUUCUUUUGCAUGUUCUCUUGAAAGUGUCAAAAGUAUGUAAAACAGUUUUUUUUUUACAAAAUCAUUGCUAUGUUUGGCAACACUUACGUAAAAAUAAUGUUUCAAUAGAAAGAACAACAAUCAAAAUGAGGAUCUUGAUAGAUACAUUUUGAACUUCAAAUAUUUAUUCUUAGCCAUUACAUAUAAUUGAAAAACUGGCAACACUGUCACAUUUUAUUCAAACACUUUAAUGCACUUUGGUCUAAAUCAGCCCAAACCAUCUUUAAAUUGCUUCGAAUAAUGUUUUCUUAGCGAAACUUGUAAGUUGAACCAAUUUUAUAUAUUAAAGAAAAACGUUUUCCAAGCUUAAAAACGCUGUAUCUCUGGAACGGCCCAAUAGACCUCGGAGAGUUAAGCUGCCGAGGAAUGAAUGGUUAUGGAGGUCUUAUGAAUCGCAAACGGAGCCUGUGAGAAAGCCGGGGCGCCCUCCACAGUAUUUUGCCCUUACAGCGCUAACUGGAGCCAUGACGUAGUGAGCCUUGUGUUUCUCCGAAACAAUCAGCUGCCCUUCUUCAGCUUCAAACUUGAUGCUGAAUAAAAGCGUGAUUAUAAAGAUGUCAAUGGUUAGUUUUGAUUUUCACCUAAAUGGUUUCCCAUUAUGCGAUUUACAUCGCGUAUUCUGUGUAUCCUCGCUUUUGCCGUUUUCCAAUCAAUACAAUCUGGUUGUAUUGUAUUCUAGUAGAGCUAUGUAAAAUGGUACAGCGAACGUGCCUUUAGUAAGAGGAAUUUUUAUAUAGUAAAGCAUGUAAACCCGGUGUUUGAUAUUUUCAGCAAAAAUUAUAUGGUAAACUCGCAUGUCAUGCCUCGAGCAUGUGUGCUUGUCAACAAGGCAAUUGUCGCUACGCUCAUCUCUGAACUAACUACCAGAUAUGUAUGUGCGCUAUCGCAAUUGACGUUUCUAUUGCGAAUCUCAGCAGGAAAUACUUCUAUUGUUCGGUUUAUUUACCGCACGCUAAACCAUCCGCUACGGAUGAUUUCCAACAAGUUAUCGCAUACUGCCCUUCAAAAGACCUUCCGCUAAAUGUUGGCCUUUGUGCAAAUGUUUCCAGUUUGAGCGAAGCCAGUCGGAUGAGCAAAAUUCUUGCGAAAUUUACGGAAUUCCGAGUAAACGAACUUCGUUUGCCAAAUGCCGGUUUCACUACCUCUGAUAAGGAAUAAGUUCUGGAAUGCUUUCUUUAGUACACACUUUCCAGGACGUGUGGACAUUGCAUCUUCAGAUGAUUCUGAUGCCUUUUCUAGUAGUUAUGAUUGUCUGACCUCGGCCAUAUUGGAAGCCGCACGGAGUCAUGGUAUAUCUCCAAUGAUUUCCAAUUCGAUUUGACAAAUGUUCAAACCCCGACAUUUCUUCUCGACAUUGCGUCAAACAGCGAUUAGGAAAUUGAGUGUUUGCGGAUGCCUCCAAGGGGGAGUCUUGUCACAACUUUUGUGAAAUCUCGUAGCAGAUACGCAAUUGAGGCAACUCAAUAAUAGCGGUUUAUUAUAUGGUGUUGCCCUCGACUACAUAAUGGCCCCAAAUUGAGAAGAACGGACCUCUGGAGCUGACCUAAUGAUACUUUACGUUUUUACACAGAAAAUUUAUAGCUGAACACAGCUUAUUUCAAUUUAAAGUUUAUUUACCACGAAGGUUUAAUCACAUUCCCGUUCACAAUUUCCCCGUUUUGUUCCCGGUGCAUAUUGAAACCUCGAAAUGGGGCCGAGAACAGCCUCCCCCGGGGGCUAUUAUUUGCACAGUUAACGAAUGCGAACUGAAAGGUAUUUAAUUAACGAGCCUCCAUCACAAUGCAAUAUGGGUGUGGGCCCAGCAGAGGACCAUCCGCAGUUACCACCACCGCUCAGACAAAAUAAAAUUAAUACUCACAGGAAAUACCACCACCGCCACCACCCUACUGGGGGUGUGUUGUGUGGUGUAACGUCGCGGGAAAACAUGCCGGGAACGUAAUUUUUUUCGAUUUUUCAUUAAACGCAGUCGGUAAUCGGAGAAAUUGAGGAUGAUUUUUUUUUGUUGCGCUAAAGCUGAUAAUAAUAACUAUGGAUUGUGUCAGGUAUCAUGUGAUUUAGUUUACUGGAGCUUGCUCUCCUUUAAAUGUGGAACAACGGUUCCGGGUCAUUUGGCCGAACGCCAUUUGGUCGAAAGGAUCAUUUGGCCGAACGCCGUUUGGCCGAAAAAGGUAUGUUGAACUUAAGUGAUGAUGCCAUUAUUCCGUAUAUCAGUAUAACUCAAAAGAACAGCCCAAGGGGCCUGCAACUCUAAACUUUCCAAUAAAUUUACUAUUUGUCUCAAAAUAGUACCGCGCAGUAUUUCUAGUAUCACUGAAAGUUUAGAAUCUAAGUAGCGGUUGUUAUGGACAUCCUACUAGCAUCCGACUAGUCAGAAGCUUAGCUCUCACUUGGUUAGUUCCAAUCUAGGAUCCUAGGUUCCAAUUAGUUCAGCGUAGAUUCUAAUAUUUUUCUAUUGAAAUUACGGUAAGUAACAGUCCUAGAAUGCGAUGCUGAUAUAGUAAUGCAUUUGAAUAAUUGUACAAUUCAUUUAUUUGGUAGCCAAUCUGGUAAGCAGGUCAGACCUUCUACCUUCUUUCCAUUUUUGAGAAAUGAGAAGAACACAAACUACGAGACUGCUCAAAUUCGAGGACUAAAUGGUGGACCUGCUGUGAAAACUUAGCUAUCGAAAAUAUGAAUUUCUUAACGUUUGGAUUAGGUGAUUACGGAGAGCAGGAAUUGUGAUACGAAUGUUUCAAAAACUGUAAUGUACAGUAUAUUAUCAAUCAAUUGUUUUCAUUGGUUUUUCAUUUUUUCACCACAACUAACGAAAUAAGAAUUUUAUUUUUAUCAAUGCGUGUGUUUUUUUUAGCAAGCGUGCGUAGGUCUUACGGUAAAAAUGCCUCACUUGUGCCCACCCAGUACCAUGGGCGUAGCCAGAGGGGGGCAGGGGGCAAGCAUCGCCGAAUUCCUCCAGGAUUUUUUCCAUAGCUUCCUUCAGUGAUUCCAUCAUGGCUUGCUCCAGAGAAUUUUUCAAGAAUUCCUCAAUGGGUUUCACCAGACAUUCCUCCGGGAAUUUAUCCUGGGAUAUCUGUAGAGGUUCUCCAGUGAUUGUUCCAGUGCUAUUUUCGAGAAUUUCUCAAAGAAUUUCUCCAGGGAUUCCCAAAGGAAUGUCAACGGAAAUUCUUUUAGGUAUUUCUCCAUAUAUUUUUUCAAGAAAUUCACUACAGAUUGCUUCAAUAAUUCAAUCCGAAAUAAUUCGAAGUAUUAGUUUGAAGUAAAGCCUGUAUCCGCAAUAAUCGGGACACAGAAAUACACCUGUAACUCUGCAAUAGAUACAUUAAAAUUGCUCAAAUUUGGCCUAAUAACAUCUUGAGAUGUGUUCAUUUCACCUACAAAAUUUCAUGUGGAUCGCUGCAGUGCUUUUUGUUGUAGCGAUGAAAGAGUGAAAUGUGCGCCAUUGAAUUUUGUACAGACCCUAGUUUUGCUUGCCAGCGCUGUAACUUUUGAAUUUGGCGAAGAAAAUGGCUGAAAUUUUGAACACAAACCUCUCAAUCUACAUUUGUUGCUUAGGCAAAAUUUCAAAAAAAUCGAUGCACUAUCAACAAUUUUAUAGUCGAAACAUGUGUUGGGACUGAACGUGAUUUUAGCUCCUCAGACAGAAAACAGUCAGCACCCUUUAUUGUUUCGAUUGUACUAAUGAAAGUACUAUAUCAAUAAUCAUCAAAUUUUGCCGGCAUAAUAUACACGUAAUCAACUAUCUUCUGUAAAAAUUUCAUGAAAAUUGGCAGAGAAAUUCAAAAGUUAUGAAUAGGUAAACAUCACACAUGAAAAACACGAAAAUUUUUCACUAACACUCACCCCUAUCAACACCAGUAACAUUCAAACCAAUUGAUCAACGUUGAUGAAAUUUUGCAAGAAAGUGUCUCUAUAAGUAUCAUAACUGCUAACGAAAUUUUAUAAUUAUCAUCACAGAACUUUGAACUCUAGCGUAAAAGAACCAUCUAUUAAGGGAAUGAAAAUUGGUCAUGAUUGUACAAAAUGCUUAAAACCACGUCUGUUUGUUUUUCAUCCACAGUUAAAAGUAAUGCAUCGAUUUUUAUGAAAUUUGGCUCACAUAAUAAACAUACACCAAAGAGUUCUUGGCCAAUGAUUUGGCAAAUUUUACCGAUUCAUUACAGAGCUACAGCCGUACCAGGGUGUCCAUUCAAACUCAGUUUUCCGAUUCCCGGAUUUUUCCCGGGUAUGUACAAACUUCCCGGGUAUGAAUAAACGCAAAUUAUUCUAGUUCUAGUAGGACACUACUCAGUUCAUUUUUAUACAGAGUUAUAGCUUGGUGUAUAACUUGAUACAAAUUAAAAAAAAAUCCUAAUUUCAAACAUUUUGACUAAAAAAACGUUAGUUUCCCUCCACACAAAAUUUAGGAUGGAAGUCUGUAGAAAAGGUCAUUUCUAUAAUAAGGAAAAGGAAUCUAUGUAUAUGAGAAUAUUAUUGAAAUCAAUCACUGUGCCUGAGUUUUUCGUGAAAUUUUUGGACAAUUUCAAAGCAAAUUCGGUAGAAAAAAUAUCGAAACAUUUUCGCUAGAAUUUUUGGAAAUCUCCAUGUAAAUUUUUGUACUGCUUCCAUCGUUGUUUUAAACAAUUUACUUGCUGAAUCCAAAAUCUUUUGAAACCGUUUUUUUAGAUGUUUUUUAGAAAAAAACUGUUGAGUUCUUAAUUCUUCAAUAAAAUCCAGAACAUAGAACAUUUCUUCCUUAGGGAAAUACUCGGUACUGCCAAAAAAUCUCUUACAAGUUACAUCUACAACUUUUAAAAAGUUUGCAUUAUAUUGCUGUAAAAAUAUCAGGGAUUCUUUAGGAUACUCUUCCGGGGAUUCGAAUGAUGCUUUCAGAAAGUCACAUUUUCUCGGUAAACUAUCAAACAUUGCUUCACAGAUUCCGUUGAAGAUUCUUAUGUGGAUUCUGCUUCUGAACUCAGGAAAUUUCUUAACAGAAAGUCUUUCAAGGGUAGCUUUUUUGGGAAAUUCGCUAUAAUUUCCUGUGCUAUAGUCUCUCUUCAGAUUUUGUAUUCGAUUGUUUUUUAGGAGCGCAAAACUCUGUUCAGAAGCGAAUAGGUAUGAUUUCGCUGUAAAUCCCGUCAGGCAUUUUUCAAGAAUUUUCUCCUUGACUUUUUCCAAAGGGAUCAAAUUUAAGGAAUCUGGCAUAAAUUGUAGAGUUCCACUAAGAAUGUCACCAGAAACUGACAAUUUUUUUCAAACGUUAAAAUCUCUAUGCCGGAAGUAACGUUUGCAGGUUUACCGAGUUUUUCAGGAAUUCUGAGAGGGCUUUCGUGGACUUCUUCGGUAUUUUUGCUAGAAUCCUGCUGUCAAAAUAUACCUAGCAAGACUUGUCCUUCCAAAAAUCUUGAAUUACGCCUAAGAAGUAUUUAGAUUUCAUUUACAUAAAUUAAUCGAGAUCCAACAGAAAUUUCUAAAAUUCCUGAGAGGCUGCCUGUCUAAAAAAAUAGCCAGCCUGCAACUUUGUUAAUGUUCGCAUCAUUCCAUUCAAGACUUUGUUGUAACUAAUACAGUACAGACAGACACCAUAAAGAUUUUUCCCGGUGCCUUUUAUAAUUUCCCGUGUUUUUCCCGUAUUUUUCCCGGUGAUUUCUAAUUCCCGGGUUUUUCCCGGUUUUCCCGUAUUUCCCGGAUGGAUGGACACCCUGCCGUACUUCUGUGUCCCGAUUAUUGCGGAUACAGGCUUUACACUCCCGUUCAAAAGUUUGGGGUCACUCCCUCAAAAACAUGUCAUUUUUUUAGGCCCAUAUCUCCGCCAAUUUGCGUCCGAUUUCAAAACCCUAGGUUUCAUUCAAAAGAUAAUAAGUCAAAGAAACUUUGAACAUGAUUUAAAAGAAACUUUUUCAAAAAAUUUUGUAUGUAAACCUAACCCAAAGUUGCCAAAUUUUCUAAAAAAUGAAUAUAAACUUACGGCAGUGUCGCUGAAAGUUGCGUCGACCAAAUUUUUAGAUGAGAGCGGUAAUAUGACCCAUUUUCUAUUAGCUUUCAACUGCUUUUUUACAGAACUUAGCUAAAAAAUCUAGAAAAAAAGUUAUUAAGUAAAUUAAUCCUUGGAUUCUAUACCAUUACCCGGAAAACCAUUACCCGGAAUGCCAUUUACCGGAAAACCAUUUACCGGAAUGUAGUAUUUACCGAAAGACCGUUUACCGGUAUGUUCUAUUUACCGGAAACAUAUUCAUUCUCAAGUAACACACUUGCCACAGAACAGUCACGGUGGCGCAGAUUUUUGUUGCACAGAAGUCAUGUUGACUUACUUCUAGCAAGUAGGUAUUUAUAUGUUAGAAGUAAGUCACAAUGACUUCUGCGCAACAAAACCCUACGCUGCCGUGACUUUUCUGUGACAAUUAUGUUACUUGGAUCGUCUACCCCCCUUGGUUUGAAUGACACCUCAUGCAAACCAACGGAAUUCAUUUUUAAUUUGAACUUGUAGUAACUCUGUGGGGCAUCGAAAAACACACUAAUGGAAAUCUUUUUUGUUGUUUUGUUUUGAUUCUGUGUCUCGUUUCACCCCGAUCCCUGAGCAAAAUGACGUUUGAACAAUUUGAACAAGAUUAGCGAGAGUCAACCUAAAAAUUGAUCAGAUGAGAUGCGGUCAUACUAACGGGGGUGGGCGGUACUAAAAUGUGCAUGUUCAAAAAAAAAGUGAAAACUGACCGAAAACAGGCUUCGAAAGAACAGCCUGUUGCUAGAAGAAGGGCAAAUAUCUAAGAGUGACAUAAACAGUAUGUUAUUUAAACAAUUCUGUAUUAGGCUUAGUUGAGAGAACAACACAUUUUAAAAAAGGAAACAUAUCAGACAAAGUUAAUAGUUUCGCUAAUCAAGUUUGCAGCGAGCAACUUGAUACAAUUAAAGCAGGGCAAAACUCUUACAUAAAAAGCAGCAAAUUUCAAUAAACAAUAUGGUAACCAAACGCUCUAUAACAAUUUAAGUCAAAAGAACAGCCCAUUUUUUUAAGAAGGAGAAACACUAGAUGGAAUUAAUAGAUUGGCCGCUAACCAACUAUGUAACAUUAAAUCGUUAGAAAGAACAGCCUAUAAUUUGAAGAAGGGCAAAUCUCCUAUACAGUAAACAGUUUGACUGCUAAUAAACUUCGUAAAUGAACCUAGAAGAACAAGUUUCGACGAAAAUGAAGAAAAUGUCAUAUGAAAAAGCUACAGUUUCGCUGCCAGCCUAAAAAUGUUCAUUCAGCUUAACGAUGCUAACUCUACCUUGCUAAGUGAACUGCACCGAGAAUUUAGUUCUAGUUCUAUAUUCGUGAAAAAAAUAUUCAGAAUAUAGUUUUAAGGCUCAACUCAACCAAAUUAUUCCAUAUAGGAAACAAAAUAUCGGGUAAUGUUUAAAGACACCAAAACAUCUUUUGAGAUCUUAGGUUUUCCUACGCCUUUCCAGGAAAUGGAUUAUUUCGGGAAAUGGGGCAGUUCGGAAAAUUGUUUUUCUAAGAAAUUCAUUAUUCCGGAAAAUGUCCUUCCGUGAAAUAAUUUGAACUGUUCGACCAUAUCAGUAAACCUAGAAAGAACAGCCAUGUUAAAAGAAGGGAAAACAUCUGCUGGAAAUAUUAGCAAUCACAUUCAGCACAUUAUUUAUAAACACGUAGAUCCACAUGUAAGUAACUAUAAACGAUGACAGCUCUGUCGAGUUACUAAUUUACUGCUAAUCAUAAUUAGGCGAAACUAGUGUUCAUCUAAAUGACCGGGUCAUGGUUUGGGUCAAAAGAUGACCAGUGCAAAAGGCAUGUGAUCAAAUGUCUGGAUAUCGCUGUGCAAUCUGGAAACAAAUUUCGGGAAAAAAUCUUUUCCGAUAAAUGGUUUUCCGGUAAAUGGUUCAUUCCGGUAAAUGGUACAUUCUGGUAAAUGGUCCAUUCCGGUAAAUGGUCUUUCCGGUAAAUGGUUUUCCGGUAAAUGGUUCAUUCCGGGUAAUGGUUUUCCGGUAAAUGGCAUUCCGGGUAAUGGUUUUCCGGGUAAUGUCGUAGAACCAAUCCUUGAUGUCAUCGACCAAAAGUUUGGGGUCACCCCUCAAUAUGCUGUAUCGGCCAAAAGUUUGGGGUCACUAUCGUAAAACAUGGAAAACGGAUUUGUUGAUAUCUUCGUCAUCUUUCAUUCAAUUUUAAUUCUUCUUGGCUUAUUUGAAACAAAAUGAAUGAUACUUACUGCAUAGACAUUGAACCACACAUAUUUGUUGAAAUUUACAUACUAAAACUUAACGUAAAGUUGCCUCAUUUUUUGAAGCGUGGUAAAAUGUGCAAACUUUACAUAACAUUUUUAUAUACAAAAUACGUAAAGUUGAAGACAUCAAACGUAAAUUUAGUUAAUUAUCUUUGAAAUGAGCCAAAAAUAAUUAAAAUUGAACUAUAGAUGACGAAGAUAUCACCAAAUCACUUUUCCAUGUUUUACGAUAGUGACCCCAAACUUUUGGCCGAUACAUCAUAUCGAGGGGUGACCCCAAACUUUUGGUCGAUGACAUCAAGGAUUAAUUUACUUAAUAACUUUUUUUCUACAUUUUUUAGCUAAGUUCUGUAAAAAGCAGUUGAAAGCUAAUAGAAAAUGGGUCAUAUUACCGCUCUCAUCUUAAAAUUUGGUCGACCCAACUUCCAGCGACACUGCCGUAAGUUUAUAUUCAUUUUUUAGAAAAUUUGGCAACUUUGGGUUAAGUUUACAUACAAAAUUUUUUGAAAAAGUUUCUUUUAAAUCAUGUUUAAAGUUUCUUUGACUUAUUAUCUUUUGAAUGAAACCUAGGGUUUUGAAAUCGGACGCAAAUUGGCGGAGAUAUGGGCCUAAAAAAAUAACAUGUUUUUGAGGGGGUGACCCCAAACUUUUGAACGGGAGUGUAUAUCUUCCAGAAACCCGUGCAGGAAAUUUUAUUGCAGACAUGGAUUCCUUCGUAUUUUUUUCUACAUAAUUUUUUCAGCGAAUUUGUUAAGAAAGCUUUCCUGGGAUUUCCUAAGGAAUUCCUCAUGGGAUUUCUUCAGGAAUUCCUCCAGAUUUUCCUUCAAGAAUUCCUCCAGGGUGUUUCUAUCAGGAACAACUCCAGGGAUUAUUUUAUAAAUUCCUCCAAGGAUUCCCCCAUGAACACUUUUCAAGGAGUUCCUCUUGGAAUUCUUUCAUGAACUCUUCCCAGAAUUAAUCCAGUACUUCCUCCAGGAACUGUUUGGAGAUUCCCAUAAGAAUUGCUUCUGGGAAUCCUCCUGGGGUGUCUUCAGGAACUUAUGCAGGGAUUCCUUCAGAAACUGCUGCAGGGAUUCCUUCAGAAACUGCUGCAGGGAUUCCCCAAGGAGUUCCUCCACGAACGCUUCUUGGAAUUCCUUCAGGAUUUCUCCAAGGAUUCCAUCUGCAGUUUCUUUGGGAAUUCUUCCUGGGAUUCCUCCAGGAACUUGUCAAGGGAUUCCUCCACGAAUUUCUUCAAAGAUUCCUCCGGAAAUUAUUCAAGAGAUUCCUCUGGAAAUUGCUGCAGUGACUCCCCUAAAAAUUUAUCCAAGGAUUCCUUCAGAAAUACCUCUAGCGUUUCCUCCAGAAAUUUCUCCAGGCGAUUCUUCUACAGAUUCUUCCAGGAGUAUUUCUAGAGAUUCUCCGUUAAUCCCCACAAGCAUUCCUCUAGGGCUUAACUCGGUAAUUCCUUAUGUGAUUCUUUCUGCAACAACUUAUUUUGAAAAUUCCUCCAAAGAUUCUCUCAGGAACUCUUCUUAGGAUUCCUUCAAGAAUUCAUCCUUGUAUUCUAUAUGGAACUCCUCCAUGAAUUAGUACAGCACUUCCUGCAGGAACUGCUUAGGGAUUCCUCUUGAAAUGGCCUCCGGGAUUUCUUCUGGAGUUUCUUCAGGAACUCUUCUAAGAAUUCCUCCAGAAUUUCUCCAAGAAUUCCAUCUGCGAUUUCUUCAGAAUUAUUCCUGAUAUUCUUCUACGAAUUCCUCACGAGAUUCAAUGUCUUCAUCUGCAGGAAUUUCUCCAAAAAUUCCUCCAGGAAUUCAUCUAGAUUCCUCCAGAAAUUUCGCCAGAAAUUCCUCUAGAGAUUUCUCCAGGAGUUCCUCUGUAGAUUCCUUCAGGAAUUAAUACAGGCAUCCUCCAGGAUAUCCUCCAGGGAUCCCUCUAACAAGAUUUUUUUCAGAGAUUCCUCCAAGAAACCCUCCAGGGUUUCCUCAAUGCAUUCCUUCAGGACUUCCUCCAGUAAUUGAUUCCGGGAUUCUUCCAAGAAUUAUACCAGGAAUUUGUACAGAUAUUUAUCCAGGACAUCUGCAAAGGAUUCCUCCAAGGAUUUUUUUUCCAGAGACUCCUACAGAAAUUCAUCCAAAGAUUUCUCCCGGAAUUACUUCAGGGAAUCCUCCAAAAAUUCCACCAGGAAUUAUCCUAGCCAUUCUUCCAUGAAAUUUUACAGGCAUUCGUGCAGUGAUUCCUCCUUGGAUUCUUGCAGAGAUUUCUCCAGGAUUUUUUUCAGCAAUUCCUUUGGGAAUUCCUCCAGGAAUUGCUUCAGGGACUCCUCAACAAAUUCUUCCAGGAAUUCCCCAGGAGUUCUUCCAUGAGUUUCUCCUGGGAUUGCUUCAGAAAUCCAUGCAGGCAUUUCUCUAGGAUUUCAUCCAGGAAUUAAUCCACGGUCUCUUUGAGGAAUUACUCCAGGAAUUUCUUCAGGGAAUCCUCCAGAAAUUAAUGAAGGAAUUCCAUCAUAAAUUAUGCCAGCAAAUCAUCCAGUAAUUUCUCUAAUAAAUCCUUCUUACAGGAUUUUCUUUAAGAAUACCUUCUAGAUUUUGUUUUCCAGGAAUUCCUCCAAUAACUCUUCUGUUCUAGAUUUUCCUCCAGGAAUUCCACUUAAAAUUCCUGCAGGAACUUCUUCAGGGAUUUUUCCAUGAAUUUCUCCAAGGAUUUCCCCAGAGAUUCCUUCAGAAAUUCCUUCAAGGAUUACUCCAGGAAUUUCUCCAGAAUUUUUUCUAGUAAUUCCUCAAGGAAUUACUCGGCAGAUUUUAUUGAGAAAUUUUACCCAGAGUUUCUCUAGAGAUUCCUCCAGAAAUUCAUUCAGCAAUUGUUGCAAGAAUUCCUGCAAAGAUUCCUCCAGCAAUUCUCAAAGGAAAACCUCCAAGAAUUGUUCCAGGUAUUCCUCCAGGAUUUUAUCAAGGCAUUCCAGGAAUUCUCCAAGUAAUAACUCAAGAAUUUCUUCAGGAAUUCCUCUAGCAAUUUCUCUAGGAAUUGAUCCCGGAUUCGCUCCUGGAAAUCCGUCCGAAAUUAUGUCAGCAAUUUUUCCAGAAAAUCUUCUGAGGAUUUUUUUUUUUCAGUAGCUAUUCCAGGAAAUUCUCCACGAAAUUCUCCAGGGAUUUUCCCAGGGAUUCCUCUAGGAAAUCCUUCAGAAGUUCCUCUAAUGAUUCUUCCAGCAGAUCCUCUAGGGAUUUCUUCAAAAAUUCUUCCAGGAAAUUCUCCAGGAAUACCUUCAGGAAUUUUUCAGGGAUUCCUCCAGGGAUUUAUUCACAAACUGCUUCGAGGAUUCUCCAGGAAUUCCAGAAAUUCCAGAAGGGAUUCUUUCAGAAAUAGAAAAAUAAUAGAAUUCCUUUGGGGAUUCCUCUAGAAAAUUAUCCAGUAAUUCUUUCAUGAAUUCGUCUAGAGGUUUCUCCAGGGAUUUCAUCAUUGAUUCCUCCAACAGUUCCCACAGUAAUCCCUCUAGGAAUUCCUCCAGACAUUCCUCCAGGAUUUUAUUCAGGAAUUUCUGCAGGAACUCUUCCGGGAAUUCCUCCAGGAAUUACCCCAGGAAUUUCUUCAAAAAUUGCUCCUGGACAUCCUUCAGAAAUUAUGUUAACAAUUCCUCUAGGGAUUCCUACAGGCCUUUCUCCAUGAAUUUCUCCUGAGAUUCCAUCAGGAAUUGCUUCAGGAAUUUCUCCAGAGAUGCUCCCACGAAUUUCUCCAAGGAUUUUUCCAUGGAUGCCUCCAGGAAAUCCUUCGAAGUUUCCUCCAGGAAAUCCUUCAGCAGUUCCGCCAAGGAUACUUCCAGGAAAUCCUCUAGGGAUUUCUUAAGAAAUUCUUCCAGGAAGUUCUCCAGGAAUACCUUCAGGAAUUUUUCAGGGAUCCCCCAGGUAUUCCUCCAGGGAUUUGUUCACAAAUUUCUUCAAGGAUUCCCCCGGAGUUUUCUUCAGGAACUCCUUCAAGGGUUUCUUUAUUAUUUCAAGAAAUCCUCUUGGAAUCUCUCAAGGAUUUUUUUUUCAGAAAUUUUUCCAGGAAUUCCUCCACGAUUUUUUUCAAGGAUUGCUCCAAGAAUUCAUUCAAGAAAUCUCUCCAGGAAUUCCUGUUGGGUCUCAUCCAAGAAUUCUUCCAGGAAUUUGUUCAGAAGUUUCUCCAGGCAUUCCUCCAGGAUUCUCUUGAGAGAUUUUCCCAGGAAUUAGUUCAGGUUUCCUCCAGAAAUUUCAUCAGGGAUUUCUACAAGAAUUCCUCCAAGGAUGCCUUCUGAAAUUUCUCUAAGAUUUCCUCUAGGAAUUCCUCAAGAGCUUUCUUCUGAAAUUUUCCUAGGCAUUCAUCCCAGAAUUCCUCCGGGAAUUUCUCCAGAAUUCCCUCCAAGGAAUCCUCCAGAAAUUCAUCUAGGAUUUCUUCUAGUAUUUCCUCAUGAGAUCUCUUCAGAUAUUUCUCUAGGUAUUCCUCCCAUAACUUAUACAGAAAUUCGUCAACGUAUACUGUCAGAAAUUCUUCCAAGGAUUACUCCGGGAAUUACUCCAGGGAUUCAUCCAGGUGUUUCUUCAGGGAUUUAUCGAGGAAGUCUUCCAGGGAUUGCUCCAGAAAUUCCUCAAAUGAUUUCUUUAGAAAUUUCUCUCAGGUACUCUUCAAAAAUUCAUUCAGGAGUUUCUUCGGAAAUUACAGAAAUCCUUCAAUCAUAUUUUCAGGGAUGUACCCAAGAACUUCUCCAGGAAUACCUGAUGUUUUUUUUGUUAAUUAUUUCAAGAAUUUGUGGAGAACUUCAGGUAUCAGGUAUCAGCCUAUGAUUCAAAGAAGGAAAAAUCUCUGACAAUAAUUUUCUCAGUUUCAACGCCAACUAAUCCCUUAACGGUAAAACUAGAAAGAAUAGUAUAUGAUUAAAAGAAGGAAAUAUUUCUGAUGAUCAUAUUGGCAGCUACCAUGUUAUCCAGAGUUUGCCCACGCCUCCAAAUCCUUUUGAUACUAAUUCGGCCAAACGGCAUUCGGCCAAACGGCAUUCGCCCAAAUGGCCGGACACCCGGAACAACUGCAGUCAGUUAACAUACCAAAACAGGAAUACCUGUCAAAAGCCUUUGGAAAACUUAAGGAUAUCUACAGUUUGUUUUGUAUUCGUUUUCAGGUAACUGGUCAAGAUGUAAAUGUUUUGUACGUAUCAAUUUCGUAUGGAUUAGAGUAGCCCACACUUAUAUGAAAAACACAACUUCUUCUUGUUUUUAGCGUGACAUCUCCGCUGCUACCUCCGCCAAUAACAAUUUUGCAUGUUCAUAUCAUGUGGCUGGCACGAAGAUACUCUAUGACCAAGAAAGUCAAGAAUUUCCAUAACAAAGAGUUCCGGUCCAGGGGAAGGAAUCCGUUACCCUCAGCAUAAUUUUUUGGUUUAUUUUUGGUUAUUUAAAAAAAUAUCCUAUUCGUUAUACAGGGGAUACUCAAAAUAACUGGGACAGGAAAAGUUUUCACUUUUCAAAAAAUGUUCAACUAGCUGUAACUUUUUGAAUAGGGCAUCAAAUAUUCUCAAAUUUUUACUGUAAGUUCAUCAACUAGUUGUGUAUCAGUGGUCCAAAUUUGAAAAAGUUCGGGCUAUUCUACACGAAGUUAAAAAUAUUCUAGAAAAAGGUAUAAUUAUCCGAUAGCCAACUUUGAGCUGUUAUAUCUCCGGAUUCAAUAAACCGAAUGCAAUGAAAAUUUGGUCGUUUAUGACUAAUAUAAUGAGCUAUUUAAAACUUUUGACUAAACUUAAAUUUUUUUACACGAAAGAAAAAUUUAACGAUUAGAUUAUUUUCCUAAUAAAACGCCAAUUUAUCCAAAACUUCAUCAUCGUUUCAAAAUUCAAGAUAAUAGUUAUAGUUCAUUGAAAUUCCCUCUAAUUGAUUUGAAUAUAUUAAUGUUUCGAAGGAAAGCAACCAAAUGGCCGGCAUUAUAUUGAAAAAGUAAUGGAAUGCAUAUGAAAAAUAGAUAAAUUUAGUAAAAAAACAUAGAAUAUAUGAAAUCGUUAUAACUUUUUUUCUUAUUAAUAAUUUCAAAUUAAGUCAAAUGUUUUUCAAAGUUCAUUAUAUCAGUCAUAAAUGAUCAAAAUUUCAUUGCAAUCGGUUUAUUGAAUCCGGAGAUAUAACAGCUCAAAGUUGGCUAUCGAAUAAUUAUACCUUUUUCUAGAAUACUUUUAACUUCAUGUAGAAUAGCCCGAACUUUACCAAAAUUGGACCACUGAUAGACAACUAGUUGAUGAGCUUACAGUAAAAAUUUUAGAAUAUUUGAUGCCCUAUUCGAAAAGUUACAGCUAGUUGAACAUUUUUUGACAAGUGAAAAUUUUACCUGUCCCAGUUAUUUUGAGUAUCCCCUGUAGUUUCUUUCAUUGUUAACAAUUUUAUGUAAAAUAAAUCGCUUUCCAAAGCUCAUUAUAUGUCAUUGACAUGUCAUGCCAGUACCGAUUGAAGUGAUGCUUGCGAUUCCAGGAACCUCUCCGUACUUGGUUGUUCUCUUACAUUCGCCCUGGAAGUAGGUAACGAUUCGCAAGACCGUGCUACUCAGUCAGCUCAGCAGCAGCCAUUGUUUUCACUUCGAUGUCUUCGUGGCUGUUGGCUGCUGGCUGCUGGAACCGAGCCAAUUCGGAUGCAAUAUGUAUCUAGGCGUACAUAGGUAUCCGUUUCGGGGUGGUGGGUUGUAGGUUUUUGGCGGCUUUACAUACUGGAAGGUAUCGCAUUCAGAGCAGCUUUCCCCGGAAUCGGGGCUCCGUUGGCAUUCGUUGGAAAGCCAAAGAACUUUUCAGCUCUUGAAAACGUUUCAAUUCUAGGAGAAUUUUUGGAAAGCUUGAUACAAUAUCAUGAUAAAAUAUCAAAAAAUAUUUCAUUCAAAGCUGAAGGAUGAACAACAUCUAUUUCAACAAUAAUAUAAAUAAGAAAAGCAAGACAAAGCCUGUAUCCGCAAUAAUUGGGAAGCGCAAACACGUCAAAGGGUACAUGAAUAUUGCCCAAAUUUGACCUGUGAACUUCUGACAGUGUAGGGAAAUUGAACCCUGCAAAAUUCCAUACAAUCCGGAGCAGCACAUUUUGUUUAUAGACACUAUAAACCAUAGCGAUCUUAGGGGAUUCAGAGGGUUUCAGUGUCGUUUCAGGAAGUUUCAGACGACGUUUAAGGUACUUUAGGGAUGUUCUAGGGCGUUUCAAGGGAAUUGAGUGACGGUCCCAGAAAAAUUACUAGGGACUUUAAGGAGUUGGGAAACUCAUGAAACCUCUGCCCUGAAACGCAUUUUAACUCAAAUUCAUUAAAAAAAAAACUGCUCUAGAAUCAAUCGCAACGCCCUGAAAACCAUCUGAAACGUCAAGAAACCCCGUGAAAGCCCCUGAAACCCCUCAAAACGCUUUUGAAACCCUCUGAUAACCACUGCAAACCACUAAAACGCUAUCGAAACCGCUAUUAAAACCCUCUUGAACGUAACUGAAAAUCUUCUGAAACGUCCUAAGGGGCUGUCCAUAAACCACGUGGCCAUGAGGGGGGGAGGUUCGGCCAAUGACCAUUUUGUAUGGACAAAUAAAAAUUUUUGUAUGGACUAAUGACCACGCGGGGGGGUUUGAAAAGUCCCAAAAAAAUGACCACGUGGUUUAUGGACAGCCCCUAAGACUCUUUGAAAAGCCCUGAAACCUCCCAGGACUCCCCUCGGAAAUUCUCAACGACGCUCCUGAAACAACCCUCAAACCGGUUGAAAUUCCCUCUUGAAAUGCCCCUGAAAUCCCAUGAAGCACGCCAGAAUCCACCGCGGGGAACACCACUGAAACUCAUCUGAAAUCCCUCUUUAACCGCUUCUAGUACCCCCUUAGACUUCCCCUGGAUAUCCUCCGAAACGUGCCUGAAACAAUCUUGCGUAGAAUCGAGUACAGAGAAAAGUACAUAGACAGUGCAUACCCCAUGUUGAUGACCAAUUAGUCUUGUAGGGGUUUUGAGAACCGUCAUAAAACCUAAUACCGUUUGUUUUGGUUUCAUGAUGUUUCCAAAAACCUUUUUUAGUCAAGUCUGCUUGACUACUAAAAGUUACUGAGCUCAGGACACAGGAGACUUCCAGUGCACGGCAAAAUAAUAAGUGUACAAAACACAAUCGAUUGCACGUACUCCCCUUUUCGAGUAGAUUGUGCUGUCCCACAAAGAGUUUCGAGUCGCACCCUAUCGCUGGACGUUGAAGGGGAUAUUGCAGGGUACUUUAACGGUUUCUGGGACGUUUUAGCGGGAAUCAGGGAGUUUCAGAUAAGUUUCAAGAGAUUUCAUGGGGUCACUGGGGUGUUUCUGAGGGAUUUUGAGGACGUUUCAGAAGGUUUAAGAGGCGAGUUACGGAAGGUUAAAAGGAGUUUUGGGAGGUUUCAAUGAGAUUCAAGAGGUAUCAGUUGGCUUCUGAAAUUGGGGAGGGGAGGGGGUGAUAUUCACAACCAGCUCCCCUCUAAAGCUUUCAUGAAACACAUCUAAUAUGCCGCAAUUUCUCUUGAAAUAACUCAGAAAUCUCCUAGGAGUCCCUGAAACACCUCUAAACUUCCAGAAAUCCCUGAAACUUCCUAAAAUCCUGUUUCCUUCUGAAUAUCUUUAAAAUUCUCUGAAACUUGUUGGAGACCCGCUGAAGCCCUGAGACCUCCUGAAAUGCCAUUGAAAUCUACUAAACCCGCUGAAACGCCCUUGCAAUCCAUGGGGUUCAGAAGUUCACUAGGCGGUUUCUAGCGGGAAGAAGGGUUUCAAGACGAUUCAGUGGGAUUUACGAGGUAUCAAUCGGCUCCAGACAUGUUUUGGGGGUUGCAUGAGAUCUUCAGGACAGCCCUCCUCCAUGAAUACUCUGAAGCUCUCAUGAAACACAUCUGAGAUCCCCCUAUGUUUCUUGAAAUAGCUCUGAAACCCCUAGAAAUUUCUUGAAUACCUCUUAAAACCCCUGACACCUCAUGAAAUCCUGUCGCUCACUAAAUCAUUUUAAAAUUCCCUGAAAAACGCCCCGUGAAACGCUCUUGACACCCACUAAAACCCAAUGAAACCCCAUUGAAACCUUUAGCAACAUUCUUAAACCAGCUGAAUACCCCUUAAUCUCCCUUGAAUGCUCCUGAAACCACUCUGGACCUUCCAGAACUGGCUAUGAAACCUGCCCAAGCUUGCUAAAGCUCCCAGAAAUCAGCAUUUCUGAAAUAUCUCUGAAAUAUCUUUGAAUCCCCUGGAAUCCUAUUCAACAAACGAUGAAAUUUGUGAACUUUUCCCUCGGUAAUUCUUAGAGAAAAGCCCCGGAGGAAUCCAUUGAAAAAUCAUAUCCAUAUAUAAAAUCCUAGAGUUGUCUGCCCUGCCGUCACGCUGUGAAAUGUUUCAUUGAAAUGUUUCACAGAAUAAAAGCUACAAUAAUCAUUGCACUGGAGCAUUGCACCUGUGUUGAAUUAGUGUAUCAUUGCAAUGGUGCAUCGUUGCAUAAGUACAUCAUUGCAUAGGUGCAUCGUUGCAGUGUUGGUGCAUCGCAGCAUUGAUGCAUCGUUGCAUUGUUGUGCCGUAUCAUUGGUGCAUCGUUGAAUUGGUGCAUCAUUGCAUUGGUACAUCAUUGCAUUGAUACAUCGUUGCAUAGGUGCAUCGUUGCAUUGGUGCAUCAUUGCAUUAGGGCAUCGCUCCAUAGGUGCAUCGUUGCAUAGGUGCAUCGUUGAAUUGGUGCAUCAUUGCAUUGGUACAUCAUUGCAUUGAUACAUCGUUGCAUAGGUGCAUCGUUGCAUUGGUGCAUCAUUGCAUUAGGUCAUCGCUCCAUAGGUACAUCGUUGCAUAAGUGCAUCGUUGCAUUGGUACAUGUUUGAAUUGGUGCAUCGUUGCAUUGGUGCAUCAUUGCAUUAGUACAUCGUUGAACAGGUGCAUGGUAGCAUUGCUGCAUCGUUGCAUUGUUGGGUCGUGGCAUUGGUGCAUCGUUGAGUAGGUGCAUCAUUAGAUUGGUGCAUCAUUAAACUCGUGCAUCGUUGCAUUGAUCAAUCUUUGAAUUGAUGCAUCGUUGCAUUGAUGCAAUGUUCCAUUGAUGUAUCGUUCCAUUGACGCAUCGUAGGAUUUGUAAAGCAUUGUUUUUAUAAAUCAUUUCAGCAGUUUCUAGAAUUUUCUUUCCAUUCUAUGGUUCAGAACCCUACAACAGUAAUUUACAGUCAAGAGGUGGAUACUUGAAAGUAUACCUUCUGGCGCUUCUCAAUGAGAUGCCUAAUGUUGUGAAAUAUUUCACAUAUGCAUUGAUCUAAUGGCUUUCGUGAAAUCUUAUGAAAGGUUUCCUUCUGGAAGAUUCUGUGAAUAAAAAUCAUAGCUAUUAAACCCCAGAGUUUUUUGUCCAUCCAACACGCUUUGAAAUGUUUCGUUGAAUUGUUCCACACGGUAUGACAGUUAUACAAGUAUUAUCUCUGCAUUGGUCCGACGUGCAUUGGUGCAUCGUUGCAUUGCUGCAUCAAUGCUGUAGAAAGGUCUAGAAGUUUCUUCCAUUCCAUGAUUUAGAACCCUACAACAGUCCGAUAUACUAAUCAAGGUUGGAUGCAUAAUACUAUACCUUCUGGCGCUUCUCAAAGAGGUGCACCAUGCUGAGUGAAAUAUUUCACAUAUGCAUUGUCACAUUAGCCUUCAAGAAAGCUUCUAGAAAUUCAAGUAUUUCAACCAGUGGCGAUUCGCUAACCUCCAAUCUACCUGUUCGACGAUUGCAAAUUCUUAAAUUUUCUCAAUAAAUUGCCUUGUAAUUUGUAGAAAAUGGCGAGAACAAUCGUUUCCGUCUAUUUUCAAUUUGAUUAUGACCCUAAAUUCCCCGAAAGUGCAAGUUUAAGGAUCGUUGAACAGGUAAAAAGUGAGGUUACGAGACGCCAUUGAUUUACACGAAAAUCAUGGAAAAUGUUUGAACCUUACUCCUUUGCCGUAGCUUCUAAGCAAAUUUCAAAAGAAUUCUGCUAGAGUUCUACAAAAAUAUCAUGCAAGAUUUCUGUCUGCAAACAUUUCAGGAUAAUUGAAGAAAAAUUCCCACAAAAACAAAUAUUAGAAUUGUUUAAUAGAACGAUUCUUCCGAUAAUUAGAACGAUUCUUCCGACGUAUGAGACAUAUUUCGAAAUCAUCUGGAAGUUCAGAUAAAAUUACAACUUUUAGAGGAACGGACAUCGGCUCUCUGUAUCGAGUCUUGGAGCCGUCACAUGAACUACGAAUUGUACCAAGUAUAUAAAUAAAUGGAUAUAGUGAAGCGAAUUAAACACGGCAGACUGCGGUGGGCUGGGUACUUAGCUCGUAUGCCGGAGGAACGACAAGCUCUGAAUAUUUAGCAGAGAACCAAGAAGGGGCCGUCGGUUUCACGGUAGGCCGCGCAAACGUUGACUUUUUGCAUUUUAAGAGUAUGUUCACGGCUAUUGGAACCGAUUGGCCCAGAACCAGAGACCAGCGGAGGCUGUUGUUUUAUUCUGCGUGGACUCGCCACUACGAGUUAUAGCCCAUCAAAUGUCAGUAAGUAUUCGGCAAAAUAGAGAGCGUAACAGGAGAGAGCAGUCAAGAAAAGGAAUCACCACACGAAGAGCAAAAUAUCAUUUUUUAGGAACAAAAUACUAUGGAAUAGAAUAAUAUGCGGACAUUUACGAAACAGUCAACGGCUUGCGGGCAAAACGGCGCUGUUAGCCGUUAUGUGCAAUGGCCGAGAAAGUAUGUUGCUGAUAGACAAAACUUUGGUAACUGAAGGGUGGAGAGCCUUUCAAGCUUUUGUAUCAGUGGAUUUGGUAAAUAGAAAGGCUUUUGCUGACCCGACUAGGAAAUUGUAACAAAUACAUAACAUAAUCGUAGCAGACCAUGAUAUUUAUAACUCAUUGGGAUAUAAUCAUGUUCAACAUCCUCGGUGUUUUCAAAAUAUUGUACCUCAAUUAUAUUACAUUAUGUUAUAAAUGUUGUUUGAUAACUUAUUGUAUUAUAAUUUAGUUUUGAGUCUUCGACAUUUGAAAAAUAAUGUUACAAAAUCAUAUCAAAUUCUGAUAGUUGAUAUAAUUUUGUGCUGAAAUCAUAUCAUAUUUUGUUAUAAUUUUGAUAUGAUUAUAACAAAAUAGGUUAUAAUCUUGAUUAGAUCAGUGCACUUUUUGUUAAAAUUUUAGUUAUUUUAACAUCAUCCUGCAUCUAGUUUAUAAUAUAAUUAUUUAUAAAAAAAAAUAUUAUAACAUCAUAACACAAUAUGAUAUAAACUUGAUAUAAUUUUCCGGUCGGGGGGCCUUUCAUGUCUGGUAAACAUUCAAAAUUAAAUUUGGCCCCUACGAUCAACACAACGCACCGGUUGUUAACUAGAAUUAGUCGAAUUUGACUUUGUAACUUUUGAAUAAUAGAGAAAAAUCUUGUAAUCGAGCAUUUUUUUCAAGAAUUUUGAGAAAUUGAUAAAGAAUCCUGUUUAAAAAUUUCUUAAAAUUCCAAAGACCACCUCUGACAGCGGUUAAAGACAACGUGUCAGAUAUUUUGUCAUUCCCUCCACAUUUCUCCGCUACAGCCAAAUGGUAUGAAGAAAGCUCGACCUGCCAACGAGGACGGCUAGAAAUCGAUUGGACACCCCGUUCGUGAACGACACGUGCCGAUGAUGCUCCGAUUCCGAUGGUUUGUUUGUUUUUAUGCCGAAAAGAACAAACUCCGGAGGCGCUCGCUCAGAUGACGGAGGAAAGCAAAAUGAUCGGUUUCCUUGGUAGGUAUAUCUGGUUGGAUGGAUACUGAAUCAAACCCGACCCGGAAGAUUCAAUCAAAUAUAUAACAUAAUUAUAACUAACCAUGAUAUUUAUAACUUAUUGUGAUAUAAUCAUGUAGAACAUCUUUGGUGUUUGAAAAUGUUUUAACUCAAUUAUAUCAUAUUUUGUUAUAAAUGAUGUUCAAUAACUCAUUGUAAAAUAAUUUAGAUAUCAUUCUUUGACAUCCAGAUAAUAUUUUUACACAAUUGUAUCAAAAUAUGAUACAAACUAGUUUUCUAGAAGCUAAAAUUUAUAUCAUAUUGUGUUCUAAUUUUGAUCUUCCUCUAACAAAAUAGGUUAUUAUUGUGUUUAGACCGGUGUACUUUUUGUUACAAUUUUAGUUAUUUUAACAUCAUCCAACAUCUAGUUUAUAACAUAAUAAGUUAUAGAAAAAAAAUAAAACAUCAUAACACAAUAUGUUAUAAACAUGUUAUGUUUUUCUAGUCGGGAAGUAUGUACAUCGCUCUCCAGACUUUUCCGAAUUGAUGGAAUGAAAUGUGAUGGCUAGAAGCAGAUAUGUACCGACAAAACAAGCUUUCGUUUUGAAUGUAGAUGAGAAGAAGGCUUUCCCUCCCUGCUGUCAAGAAUUGCGGGGGAAUGGGACUGAAGAUGAUAAAUUUUGCAAAUUGUAAUUAGGUCUGAAGCAUUUUGAAACAGUGCCUUUGUAAUUCUGAAUCAUUGAAUUUCUAUGAAGAAAGUCAUGAAUUCGAUUGUGAAAGCGAAAAACUCUCUUAUAUCCUUGGAAAACCUCAAACUUUCGCCUAUAAAUAUUUAGAGAAGCACAGUACACAUGACUUAAGCCUAGGCUUGAUGGUUCCCAUUUCUCCGUAAUGAACACAUUUCAGAAUCUUCUCCAAUGGUUGUUCGAAACUGAGCGAUUGCCCCGAAGCGCAACACCAUAGUCUCUUUCUCCGACAUGCGCUCCGCUUAAUUAUUCAAAAGCGAACAAAUUACCUUCUGGCCGUAUUUGCCAUCCUCCAUUCCUAGAAAAGCCCGAAAUUUUCCCAUCCAGCCGUCUCCGUGGUGAGUGAGUACUUGCUCGCUCCAAUCACCAUCAUCUCUAACCGAUGACGACAUAGACGAUGGAGAUGAGAGGAUGAAUAAUAUGACGGGUUACAAAUCGAGGAAGGCGCCUCGAGGCGAUUCGGAUGAAAUGCAACACAAGGGCUGCCUUUGUGCCAAGAAGGUCAAAAAAUUACAUUCCAUUGACAUCUCGCCAUGCGAGAUUGGGUAGCCGGCAUUCCAGGACCCACCAGACUGGAAAAAUUCUAACAAAAAUAUAACAUAAUUAUAACAAACCAUGAUAUGUACAACUCAUUGUGAUAUAAUCAUGUUUAACAUUUUUUGCAUUUGAAAAUAUUAUAACUCAAUUGUAUCAUAUUAUGUUAUAAAUGUUGUUUAAUAACUCAUUGUGAAAUAAUUUAGUUUUGAUACUUUGACAUACAGGACAUCAUUUUACACAAUUAUAUAACAAUUAUUCUUGAAGCUAAAACUAAUAUCAUAUUGUGCUAUAAUUUUGAUCUUAUUAUAACAAAAUCGGUAAUUAUUUUGAUUAGAUCGGUGUACUUCUUGUUACACUUUUAGUUAUUUUAACAUCAUCCUGCAUCUAGUUUAUAACAUAAUAAGUUAUUGACAAUUUUGAUAACAUCAUAACACAAUAUGUUACAAACUUGAUAUAAUUUUCUAGUCGGGUAAGUAUUGGAAAAAUUGCAUAAUAUUCUAACUUGAGCUGUGAUAUUGGAUGUAUCUACGUAUAUGGAAAUCAUAUAUAUCCUAAUCAAGACCAAAAGCUGAGAAAGCCAAAACCCCAAGAUGCAAAAAAAAGGAAGAAGCGAUCAAAUCUCCCAAGCCAGAAUUCAAAUUUAGAUUUAUUUAUUCCACUGUUUUGUACUUAAACAUUUUCUAGAUAAUUUCUAAAACUUUGCUUAUCGAGCAAAUUCACACUGCUGAAACUUCCUAUGAACGAAAGAAGCGAAAAUCUGCGUUAAAUUCCAAUUAGUUGCAAAGGAGUUCUGAAAAGCGCCAAUGUGCAAAGCGCUCAGACCUUAAACAGCUUCCUAUAGAAGAAAGAAUGGUAAAAAUAGUGUAUACUCAACAGACGUAGAGACAGAUGACACUAUAGAAUACAAAAAAUAAAUCGGAAAGAGCUCACCAAUUUCUAUAUCGUCGGUUAAUCGCACCCACACUUCGAUUUCUCUCCAUCUUUGCGCCAAACAAUGUACUCUUGGUAAAAGAUCAAGCACUUUCCGCUCACCGUUACUGCCCGCAUGAUGCAGAUGCACGCACUUACAAACUAGUCGCGCGCGCGCUCACUGUUAACGCUUUGCGCCGAAUAACGCACCCACGGCAAGGCAUCUUCCGAAACUAGCCGCAAUUACGCUCACUGCUUAAUUUUCGCUUGAAGCUACCAGAAAAGAAUCUUCCUAAGCUACCCAACUAGAAGAUUCUAACAAAAAUAUAACAUAAUUAUAACAAACCAUGAUAUGUAUAACUCAUUGUGAUUUAAUCAUGUUUAACAUCAUUGGUGUUUAAAAAUAUCAUAACUCAAUUGUAUCAUAUUAUGUUAUAAAUGUUGUUCAAUAAGUCAUUGUGAAAUAAUUUAGUUCUGAUCGUUUGACAUUCAGCACAUCAUUUUACACAAUUGUAUCAAAAUAUGAUAGAAACUAGUUUUCUUGAACCUAAAAUUUAUAUUAUAUUGUGUUAUAAUUUUGAUCUGAUUAUAACAAAAUAGGUUAUUAUUUUGAUUAAAUUCACCGGUUUUUGUUACAGUUUUAGUUAUUUAUAACAAAAUAAAUUAUAGGAAAUUUUCAUAACAUCAUAACAUAGUGUGUUAUAAAUUUGAUAUAUUAUUCUAGUCGGGUAGCCUUACAUUAUGAUCAUUGUUUAAGUUUUGCGUCUAACAAUGUACGAAAUCUUCAGAAUCCUAAAGUAUACACUGUCACUGUUAAUGUUUUGCGCCGAAUCACGUACUCGCGGCAAGGAAUCUUUCGAAACUAAGCCCAUCCACGCUUACUGUUUUUACUUUUUGCUUUCUUUCGUCGAAAAACAAACACCCAGCAAAUCUAGCUCAAAUCUAGCUUCGCACCCGACUAGGAAGUUCUAACAAAAAAUAUAACAUAAUUAUAACAAACCAUGAUAUUUAAAACUCAUUGUGAUAUAAUCAUGAUCAACAUUCUUGGUGUCUUCGAAAUACUACAACUCAAUUAUACCACAUUAUGAUCUACAUGCUGUUUGAUUACUCAUUGUAAUAUAAUGUAGUUUUGAUUCUUUGACAUUUGGACAAUAAUCUAACAAAAUUGUAUCACAUUUUGAUAGAAACUAGAAAUCCUGAAGCUAAUAUUCAUAUCACAUUCUGUUAUAAUUUCGAUCUGCUUAUAACAAAAUAGGUUAUUAUCUUGAUAAGACCAGAGUGGUUUUAGUUAUUUUAACAUCAUCCUACAUCUAGUUUAUAACACAAUAAGUUAUUGAAAAAUAUUAUAACAUCAUAACAUAAUAUGAUAUAAUUUUGAUAUAAUUUCCUAGUCAGGCAGACACUCACAGCUUACGUUUUGUACCUAUCCACGUAUUGACUUUGUUUUGCCCAAGCAGCAAGUCACAUUUGAGGUAGAAAUCUCUAGAAAAAAAAACAUGCAUUUCCGCAGUAAGAUUCCUCUAGUAUUUCUUCAUAAAAUCAUUUUAACCUGAAAUGAGAUUCACCCGAGUUAUCAAACCACAUUUAUAAUAUAAUGUGAUAUAAAUGAGUUAUAGUAUUUUAAAACCACCAAGGAUAUUGAACACAAUGUGUUAUGAAUAUCAUGAUUUGUUAUGAUUAUGUUAUAUUUUUGUUACAAAUAAAAUCGAUGUCGGAAGAUUCUUCAGAUAUUUCAUCAGGAGAUUCAUUCCUGAAGAAAUUGCGAUUCUUCCGGGAAUUGAUCCAGGUAUUAUUCCAGAACUUCAUUAAGAGAUCUAUCUAGGGCUUCUUGCAUGGUUUCUCCAGGCAUUCUUUGAAGUAUUCAACCAGGAAUUCAAUUGAAAAUUCUUCCGCACAUACCUCUAUGACUUCCUUCGGCGAAUUUCCAUGCAUAUCUUCAUUUAUUUCUCCAAAAAUUUUAUUAGGUAUUUAUCCACUAAUUUACUUCAGAAAUUAUUUUAGUAAAUCUAUCACUAGUUCUUCCAGCACUUCAUUGAGGAAUCCAAUUGAAAAUUUCUCCACUAACUUUAUCAGACGUUCCUCCAAGAUUUUCUUCAGGGAUUACUCCACAAAUUUCUUCUGGAGUUUAUUUAGAAUUUUUAUCAAAAAGAUUCCUUUUGCAAGUAUUUUUCUUUUUAAAUAUUCAGGAAUUCUCCCUGGACUUACUUUAGAGAUUCCUCGGGUCAACAAACGAAGACUAGAAAGCAAUUCCGAAUAAAAGUUGUUAGGUUUUAUGAUGAUUCUAAAAACCUCUACAAGACUUAUUGGGGGGUUAUUUAGAGAUUCUUCGAAGAUUUUCAUCAAAGAUACCUACAGGAAUUCCAUCAGAGAUUUUUCAGAAAUUCCUGCAAAGAUCUUUCCAGGAAUUCUUCCAUACAUAUUGCCUAUUUUACUGGCAUUUUACCAGGUUUGCUGGUAUGUCUGAAACAUACUGGAAAAACUUGUAAUUAGAAGGCACGAAAUGUUGCUAAUUGGCAAAUUGAGAGAUGAAAUUUGUGAAAAAAAAUCACGUUCUGGUGGGGUUCGAACACACGACUCCGUAUUCGCUCCGUAUUCUAAGCCGAAAAGAGAGAUGAGUUUGUGAAAUAGGAGUGUUCACGGUGCGGCUUCGGAGUCAGUUUGGCUUUCUAUUCCGCAGAACCAUUACCUGUCCUGUGGCUUAGUUGGUUAAAGCGCCGGUCUAGCGAAUACGGAGUCGUGGGUUCAAAUCCCACCACGCGAUUUUUUCACAAAUUUCAUCUCUCAAUUUGCCAAUUAGCAACAUUUCGUGCCUUCUAAUUACAAGUUUUUCCAGUAUCUUCCAGGGUUCUUUCCGGGAUUCCUCAAGAACUUCAGGAAUUUUUCCAGGAAUUCCUACUGGAUACCCUCAGAGAUCUAGAUAUUUAGAUAUUUGUUCAGGAAUACUAUUGAAUUCCUUUACCAUGAGAUUAUUUCAAUAAUUUCUCUACAGAUUUUUUUCAGAAAUUCAUUUAGUGAUUCUUCCACUAAUUCUUUCAGGAUAUUAUUAAUCCCAUUGAAAAUAUCUUCAGGAAUUUAGAAACUUAUCCAAAAAAUGGAUCAUGAUCUUCUCCAGAAAUUUCUUCAGAAAUGUCUCCAGAAAUUCUACCAUAAAGAUUCAUGUUGCAAGUUUUCUUCUCGGAAUUCUUGUAAAAUCUUUUUCGGAAUUUUCCCUUCACUUACUGCAGGGAUUUCUUGGAUCACGAAACAAAAAUUGGAAAGCAAUUUUGUGGUGAUUUUACUCGGGUUUCCUUCUGAUUCUUCCAAUGUAUUUUUCAGGAAUUCCGCCAUAAUUUUUAUCAAAGAUACCUACAGGAAUUCCUUUUGAAAUUCUUAGAGGAAUUCCUGCUGUGAUGGUUCCAGGAAUUCUUGCAAGGACUUUUCAAGGAUCACUCAAGGAAAUUUUCCCAGGAAUCCCUAUGACUUCCUUCAGGGAUUGCUUAAGAGAUUUGUCUAGAAAUGUGGAAUUCCAUUUCCAUGAGGUUCUUUCAGAAAUUUCUCAAAUUUUUUUCAGAAAUUCCUUUAAAAUUUCCACUUAUUUUUCCAGGACAUCCUUCAGUAACCCAUUGAACAUUUCAUCGAGAAUUGCUUCAGACAUUCCUCCAAGAUUUUCUACAGGUAUUCCUCUAGAGAUUUCUUUAACAAUUACUUCAGAAUUUUAAUCAAAAAGAUUCCUUUUGCAAAUAUUCUUCUAUGAAUUCUUGUAAAAAUAUUCUUGAAUUUCCCCUUUCACUUACUAGAAAACUAGACAGCUAUGCUAUAGUGAUUAUUCCAGGGAUUCCUUCAAUUUUUUACAGCGUUUCCUCCAGGAUGUCAUAAUAAGAUGAGAUUCCAUUAAUUUUUGCAGAAAUUUCUCUAGAUAUUGAUUCAACGAUAUCUCCGAAAAUACAUGUUGGUAUUUGUAUCCACGAACUGUUUUCAGAGAUUCCUCCAAGAAUUCCUUCAGGAGUUCCCGUACGAUUUUUUUUACUUUAUUGUUUAUUCAGGGGUCUCUUAACAAAUUCAUUCGUAGAUUUAUCCAGGAAUUCUUCAAAAAUAUUAGCAUCAAUAACCAAAAGGGUUUUCUCCAGCAAUUUUCCUACAAUGAUCCUUCCAGGAAUUGUUGCAGGGAUUUUGCGGGAUCCUUUGUUCAGGAUUAUCUUCAUGAAUUCCAUUUCCAUGAGAUUCUUUCAGAAAUAUUUCUAGAGAUUUUUUUCAUGAAUUCCUCCAAAAACUGCUUGAGGGGUUUGUCCAAGAUUUUUUGCAGAAAAAAUCUCCACGAACUCUUUCAGAGAUUUCUCUGGGAUUCGAGGGUUCCUGAACGAUUUAUUUUUCUUUAUGUGUUUCCUUAAUGCUCCCUUAACGAAUACCUUCUAGAAUUUCUCCAGGAUUCCUGAAGAACUUUCUUUAAAAAAAUAUUCUCAUGAAUAGCCUCCAGUAAUUUCUUUAAGACUUUCUUAGUUGAUUUCUCAUAGAACUCCAACAUCUCUGAAAUUCUUUCAAGGAUUCAUCCAGGCUUCUUCAGGGAUUUCUCCACAUAUGCCUAUACAAUUACCACAGCAAUUUCUUCAAGAAUUUUUCCAAAAACUACUUUAGCGUUUCUUGUAGAUUUCUUGUCGUUCAGGAAUUCUUCCGGGUAUACCGUCAAAGAUUACGUAACAUAUUUCUUCAGAGGUUUUACUUGGAAUUCCACCAAUAAUCCCUUUAAAUAUUCUACCAUGAAUUUCUUGAAAAUGUUUUCCAUAGAUUGCUACAAACAUUCAUCCGGAGACUUUUUUUUAAGAAUUUCGGUUAGAAUACAGAAGGAGAAUUUCUAGAAGAAUACAUUAAAAAUGUCUACGGAACACCACCAAGAUUAAGAUUCUCACCUCAAAUUCGAUAAGGAAAUCACACUGAUGAAUCCUCUUCUCUUAGGAGCCUAGAACUGAACCUGCUGCCCAGCAUAGUGUUCUAUGAGUAUUUAUACAAUUAUUAACUGAAGGCUUUUUUGUAUAUUGCGUAGCAGGCACGAAGAUACUCUAUGUCAAAGGAAGCAAAGGAAAUUUCCUUGGAGAGAAGUUCCUGCACCUGGAAAUCGAAACCGUCAUCCUCAGUAUGUUUUUUACCGCAUCGGCUAUAUUUACAGGGGGUGCCCAAAAUGUUUGGGAUAGGUAACUUUUUUUCUCUCACAAAAAAAGUUCAACAUGCUGUAACUUUUCAUAGAGUGCAUCAAAAAUUCUCAAAUGUUGACUGCUUGUCAACCUAUUAUAUGUGCAUCAUUGGUACAAAUCUGAGCUGGAUUGGUUAAUCUUUCGCAAAGUUAGAACCGUUCUCGUAAAACACUAUUUUUAAGACAACUAAUUUUUUAUCUGUCAUAUAUCGGAAACCAGUGAACCGAAUUGAAUGAAAUUUUUACCGUUUAUCCAGAAUUUAUGUUGCAGAUUUAUUUAGGGCUUCCUCUAAGAGUUUUCCCAGUCAAUUCUUGAAGUAUUUCUGCACGAAUUUCAUUGACAAUUCAUCCAUCCAUACAUCAACUUCCUUUUGCGAUGCAUUUCUUCACUAAUUUCUCCAAAAAAUUUAUGUGUGAAGAACUAACCUAAAGGUUAAAAUUCACAAAAGAAAGAAGACACAAAGAAAAAUCCGAAAAAAAAACCAUCAGAUAUUUAUCCAAGAAUUUGCUUCAGAAAUUUCCUAUAUGAUUCUUCCACGAAUUCUUCUAGGACUUCCUUCAGGAAUCCAAAUGAAAUUUCUCCAGGAUGAAGAAAUUUCAAGAGUAAUUGCCGAAUAAAUUUUCAAGAAAAGCUAACUCGAAGCAGUUUACAAAAAAAAGCUACCUGUAACAUUUUCAAAUUUUCAAUUGCCGGAGCAACUUCCCAACCAAUAACCAAACAAGAGUUUCUGAAGAAAUUAAAGAGCAUUUCUAAAGGAAUUGGUCAAUUCAAUACCCCAAAAAAAUGCCGAAGAAGUUUCCAAAAAAGUUUUUGAAACAAUUUUAAAGGAACUACCGAAAUAAUCUCGAAAACAAAAAAUAUUGCCGUAGAAGUUACCGAAUGAAUUUUCAAGAAAUUUCGAAGAAAAUUACUGAAUCAAUUCCCGAAAAAAAUGUCUAAAAAGAUUCCACAGGAAUUGCUGAAGUAAUGCUAAAAAAUAUGCCAGAGUAAUAAUCAAAAAAGUUUGAAAAAAAUCACCCGAUAAAUUUUCUAAGGAAUCAAUUAUCUAAUUACGUAGAGAAUUAGCAUCAAUUCCCAGAGUAAUUACCGUACAAGUUUCCAGUGUAAUUACCGAAGAAGUUUCCAUAGUAUUUUCCAAAGACAUACCCGAAGAAUCUGCCGAAGAAAUUCAUAAAACAAAUAACUGCUUGAGAUUUAUUUUAAAUAUUGAGAAGUUAGAGAUUCAAAAAUUAAAUCAAAAAAAGUUCCAAAAGAAUUGCUGAAGGAACUCCUACAAGCAACGCUAACAAUUUUAUGAAUAAAUUUCCUUAAUAAUUUUCAUAGCAAUUACAGAGGGUAUUUUCAAAAGCAAUGCUGGAGGACUUUUCAAGUGAAUUGUCGUAUUUUCCAAGGAAUUCAUUAAGAAAUUUCCUGAAGCAAAUCUAUCAAAAGUUCCGAAGGAAUUACCAAAGUCAUUUCUGAAUAAAUUUUCAAAGGCAUUACCAAUGAAUUUCUCAAAAGAAUCAAAUGAGAAAUUUGAAAAUAAAUUGCCUAAAGAAUUACUAAAGCAAUGCCUGAAAUAAUUACCAAUAGACCGAUUACUAUAGAAAAUUCUGAGAAAAUUCCCGAAAGGAAUUGCCUAUUCAAUUUUCGAAGAUAUUCCUGUUUAUUUUUUGUGAUUAUUUCUAGAUUAUUUUAAACUUUUAGUCCAUCUGUAUACCAUCGGGGAUCAGGUAUCAGUAGGUCGCCUUUAGAGACACGUGAAGGCUCAGUUCCAGUUCCAGACUCCAGAGAAAAAGAAGGAUCCUAAGUGUGAGUUCCUUAACGAAUUUUAGGUAAGAAUCUUGGUGACGUUACGUAGACCAUUCUACUGUAUUCUUCUAGAAAUUUUUGACAAGUUUUGACUACGUCUUUGUCAAAAUAUACAAAUAUAUCAAGGAUAAUAUUUGUUCCAAUGUGUCUGUUUGUCGAAUCUCGACAUUUUUCUUUGUUUUUCGCUUUGGCACCGUCGAGAGUUCAGCAAACUUGUUUCUGGGCAAAAUCAAAACUGGUCAGCGAACCAACUGGAAGAAAACCGAAAUUCUAAACAAAAAUUCUGGAUGAAUGUGUGUAAUUGUAGAAUGAAUCAAUAGAGGAAUUACUGGAAAUUUCACGAAAAGAUGCCAAAGGAGUUGCUGAAAUAAUGCUAAAGUAAGGGUUUUCCGAAGACAUACGCAAAUCUCCAGAAAAAAAUUCAAAAAAUGUUUUUUUGGAAAAUUCCCAAAAAAAAAGAUUACGAAAAAAAUUUCUGAAGAAUUCUUAUAGCAAAGUUACAAAAGCAUUGCUGAAGUACUUUUCAAUGAAAUUAUCGGAAAUUGCUCAAAGAAAUUCCCGAAGAUAUGUUCAAUGGGAUUGAUUAAGAAAUUUCCAAAGGAAUUACCGAAUAAAUUAAAAAAAAAAUGCUGAAGCAAUUCCCGACUAGAAGAUUCUAACAACAAUAUAACAUAAUUAUAACAAACCAUGAUAUGUAUAACUCAUUGUGAUAUAAUCAUGUUUAAAAUCUCUUGUGUUUGAAAAUAUUAUAACUCAAUUGUAUCAUUUUAUGUUAUAAAUGUUGUUCAAUAACUCAUUGUGAAAUAAUUUAGUUCUGAUUCUUUGACAUUCAGAACAUCAUUUUACAGAAUUGUAUCAAAAUAUGAUAGAAACUAGUUUUAUGAAGCUAUGAUUUAUAUCAUAUUGUGUUAUAAUUUUGUUCUGAUUAUAACAAAAUAGGUUAUUAUUUUGAUUAGACCGGUGUACUUUUUGUUACAGUUUUAGUUAUUUUAACAUCAUCCUGCAUCUAGUUUAUAACAAAAUAAGUUAUAGAAAAAUUUCAUAUCAUCAUAACACAAGGUGUUAUAAGCUUGAUAUAUUUUUCUAGUCGGGUUCUGAAUAAAUUUUCAAGUCAUUUCUAAAUAAAAUUUUCAAAGGCAUUACCGGUGGAUUUGCCAAAGGAAUUAAAUGACAAAUUUUAAAAUAAAGUGCCCGAAGAAUUGCCAAAGGAAAGACGAAAGGAAUUGUUUCAAAUAAAAUUCUGAGAAAAUUCUCAAAAUUACCGACACAAUUUUCUAAGGUAUUGCUUUUUGAUUAGGAUCGACUGUAUAGUAACAUCAACCGUUUUCGGGUGACUUUUCAGUCUAGCUACUUGUUUAACUACGACGAUGAGUCUUAAUGAAAUUUCAGGCAAAAUCCAUGAAGGAAUAAGUGAACUCAACUUUCACAAAAUGCUUGAAUGAAUCAAUGGAGGAAUUCCUGGAGAAAUCUCCACACGAAUCCCCGAAGCAGUUCCUGGAAAAAUUGUUCUUUAAAUUCUUGGGGGAAUUUUACAGGUAUAUGUGGUCAAAUUCAUACAGAAGCCUGGAGGAAUCCUUGAAUUUUGAUUUGUCUUUAUUAGAGAGACUUUCAGCCCUUGGCUGGUUCGUCUCUAGGAAUCCUUGAAUGAAUUCCAGCGAAUGGAGGAAUUCUAUGAGAAAUCACGAAGAAAGAUUUGAAGAAAUGCCUGGACAAAUUCUUAGGCUAUUCAUGCCAAUAUUUUUGAAGAAAUUUCUGCAGGAAUCCUCAAAGAAUUCUUUAAGGUAACCCGGUAUAAACCAUAAAGAAGAAGUAAUCGUAUAGGAACUAACUAUUGAAGGAAUUCCUGAUGAAAUCUCUGAAAAAGUUCCUUGUUAAAUCCCAGAAAAAAUCCCUAGAGAAAUUUCUGAAAGAUUCUCAUUGAAAUAGAAUUCAUGAAGGUAUUCCUGGAAAAAUCUCUAAAGCAAUUUCUGAAGGAAGUCUAGUAGGGAUUCCUGGGAUCAUUGCAAGAAUUUCUGAAAGAAUCUCUUAAAGAAUUCCUGCAGGUUUUUUUUUGAUAAAAAUCCUGAAGAAAUUCCUGAUUUUUUUUUGAGGAAUCUUUGAAGGAAACCCUGGAAAAAUCCCUAAAGCAUGUCUUUAGUUUAGGGAUUUUUGAAUAAAUUUGGCAAGAAAUUCAAAGAGGAAUCUCCAAAGGUCUAGGUUCAGGCAAAAUCCCUGAAGGAAUAAGUGAAGUAAUCUUUGACGGUAUACCUGAAUAAAGCAACGGAAAAAUUCCUGUAGGAAUCUCUGUAAAAAUCUCUGAAGCAAUUCCUGGAAAAAUUCUUCAAGAAAUUCCUGGAAAAAUCUUCAAAAAAUUCCUGGAGGAAUUUUACAGGUAUAUGUGGAGGAGUCCCUACAGAAGCCUGGAAGAAUCCUUGAAUGAAUUUCAGGGAAUGGAGGAAUUCUAUGGAAAAUCAACGGAGAAUGUUUUCAAGAAAUUUCUAGAGAGAUCCCUUAGGCUAUGUUCAUAUUUUUGAAAAAAUUCCUGCAGGAAUUAUGGCGAAAUCCCUAAAGGAAUUCGUAAGAAGGGAUCCCGGAAUAAAGAAGAAGAAAUCGUGCAGGAACUCUAGAAAGAAUUCCUGAGGGAAUCCCUGGAAAAGUUCGUGGAGGAAUCUCGGAAGAAAUGGCUGGGCAUAUCCCUGAUAAACUCAGACCUUUCUGACAGAAUCUCAUGGAAAUGAAGUUUAUGAAGGUAUUCCUGGACUAAUCUUUAGAGCAGUCCCUGAUGGAAGUCUUGAGGGAUCCCCGAAAGAAUUCCUGGAACGAUCAUUGCAGGGAAUUCUGAAAGAAUCUCUUAGGGAUUUCCUGUUGGCAUCUUUGAUAAAAAUCCUGGAAAACUUCCAGGAAAAAAAAUCUUGGAGGAUUCUUUGAAGGAAUCCCUGGAAUAAUCCCUGAAGCAUAGCUUUCUAGUUUUCGUUUUGCGAUCCAAGGCAUACCUAAAGUAAGUGAAGGAGAAAUUCCGGAAUAUUUUUUGCAAGAAUUUCUGGAAGAAAACUAAUUUGCAUAGAAAUCUUUAUGAUAGAAAUUCUGGAGAAAUUGCUGAAGAAACUUCUAAGCCUUGGAUGAUUCCCUUGGAAAUCUCGAAAACUUGAGAAAAAUUCAAAAACAUUACUGUUUUUGAAUUGUCCUAGAUAUCAACUGAAUUUCCACAAUACAUAUUUGACAAUUUUGAUAUUUUAACUGAGAUACCAUCCCAGGUGAGCGUCACAUCAAUCGAGAAUCCUUCACCUAGAAAAGCAAAAACAGCAGCAGCAACAGCCUGUAGCACGCUUCAGUUGUCGUCGUCUUGGAAAAUCUUUGACAAGAACUCACUUUCGAAGGGGGAGAACCAUGCACACAGCCAGCAGCUGAUUUUGGAAUCCUCCACCUCUUCCCCUAACGUUGCUGCCCACCCUCCGCAAUACCACAUACAACAAGGGUGGCAGCCUGUUGCUAUGUUGCCGGGUGGGGGUACUGCCUGCGUAAGAGAGAUGAUAGGAAAUUUCCAUUCCAAUUUCCUCCCACGCGUUCUCGUCGAAGGAGCGAACACAGGACAUCAUCCACCGAACAUGCCGGAAUUUGUUGUUGUUGUUUUCCGCUUCGAAACAUAUUUUGUUUGUUUUUUUUGUUCGGUCCUCCAGGGCAAAAGAAAGCGAAGAGGUUUGCUGGAAAACUGCUCGCCCUUUAUCAUUGGGCCAUUAUUGCCAAUCUUGAGUUGUCUUCCCCCGACCCACACGCGUGCCCCCUCCCCCUUCUGCACAAUGUUCGUCCUUGUCUUCGUUCGCUUUUCCUGGAACGAUUCUUGAGCUCCGGCACGAAUUCGGCUUUCCAGGAAACCGCCCAAAUUUGGGCCCCAUUUCGCUCUCGCUCUUUGCUCACGUUUUCCCACGUGUUCUCUCACUUGUUGACGACGGACGACGGAUGUUCAUAAUCAAACUCUACAGAGCCUAGCUCUCACGACCAGUACCUGUACCAGCAGGGACAUGGGGGCUGGCAGGCAGCCAGCAGUCGUCUGCCACAUUUGUGGUUGUCCCUGGUCGCUCCGGGCCCUGCUUAGUCGGAAUCGGUUGGAAUUCUACUGCAGAACUGAUGGGCCGCCGAACUGGCGAGGGAGCCAAGAAGGGAGUGCCGACGGACGCAGCAUGCUGAUAACCGGGGAAAGGUAAUUUUCUGAGCGAACAUGGUUCACCUGGCGUCGCCGGAUUACUCUGGACCGGGUUGCCAGGAUUUCUGUAGUGCAUGAAGUUGUGUUCUCUGGGAAGGUCGAGUUUAUAAAAAAAAAACUAUAGAUUCGUCAAAAUAUAAGUAAGAACCUGGAUCGUAUUUUAACUCUACUUAAAAAAAAGCUGGGUUUGCUUUUCAUCUCUGAACAAGUGUGUACAAAUAGUUACGAUUACGAUUUAAUAAUAAAUUAAUAAAUUACGUAAAUUCUCGAAUACUUUUUCAAAUAGACGUAUAAUACACUCAAAUCCUAUGUUGAUACGCCUGUUUGAAUAACAACGAAAAUGGUCCACUUUUCAGACUUUCAAGGUGUAUAACCCCUUUAUUCCUGCUAGGAUUUCUUUCAGGAAUUCCUAAUGAGGAUUCUUCUACAAACUCCUUCAGCAGGAGUGCUUUCUGAGGAUUCCAUCAAGAAAUUCCUCUGAGGGUUCCUCCACGUCGUCUGUUGAUUCCUCCGUAUUCCUUCAUGGAUACCUGCUGAUAAUUUAUCCAGGGAUUGCUUCAGAAGUUUUAAGGUACUACCUUUGAGAAUGCCAAUUAAAGCUCAUUUAUCAUUUGGCACUCAAACAUGCAUCACCACUAAGAUUCACUGAAUAUGUUUCGACAGAACACUUUGAAAGUAUACUAAAAUGAAUCUGUGAAGUAAUUCCAGAAGAAAUCCGUGAAAGAAUGCUGGGUAAAAUUUCUGAAAGAAUCCUUUCAGGAUUUUCUGAAGCAAUUCUUGCAGAAAUCCCUGAAGUUAUUCCUGAAGGAAUCCCUGAGAAUACCUGAUGUAUUCCUUAGAGAGAUCAUGAUAGGAAUGCCGGCCAGAAGCUAAGCAGGCGUUCCUGCAAGAACCAUAGAAGAUGUCUCUAUGAUCUAGGGUUGCCUGAAAACAAUCUCGGAAGAAACAUAUAUUUUUUCAAUUUUUUUUUCGGGAGGGAUCCCAUAACGAAUAACAGCAGGAAUCAUGGAAAGAAUCUUCAAAGGAAUUCCAGCACAAAUCCCUGAAGAAUGCAGAAAAGAAUAACUAACAGAAUCCUUUCAGGAUUUUCCAAAACAACGCCUGCAAAAAUCCCUGAAGAGAACUCCGCAGCAAUCCAUACAGCAAUCUCGGAAGCAAUAUCUUAACCCUCUAAUACCCAAAUUUUUGAUUUUGAUCUAAAUAUCAUUUUUCGUCAUCUAAAAUCGAUUUAAACAUGUUUUGGAAGAUGAUUCUUUUUAAUUCUUAAUUUCGUGAAUUUCAGUUUUUGAUUUUUCUAAUUUUUAUUUUUGAACAUCCCCAUACUUUUAUAUUUUUCCUGUAAGCCAAUACCGUACCUCAAGGAUUUUUUGAGAUGAAAACAUUUUGAGAUUUUAUGAUUAUUGUUGAAAUAUUAUUAUUUUAAAUUUUUUUCACAGAAAAUUUUAUUUUCCGUGUAAUUUUAAGGAAAAUAAUUUUAGAGUGUAUUCGAUUCCCUUAAACUAUUAAACAAGGAUAGAAUGAUUUGGGAAAAAUUUAAAAUAUGUUAAUUGUAGCGAUUCAAUACAAAAUAAACAAUGACUUCUAAAAGGUGACUAAAACAUCAAUUUAAAUACGCUUUAAAAUACAUCAAAAACCAUUUUGAGAUAUACAGAACAGUCCUAAAUAUCAGCCAAAAAUAUAAAAAAUUUGAUUUUCCACGAAACAAAAAUUACAAAAAUGCUUAAAUUAUACCCCGUCUAAAGGCGGGAUUGGGUAUUAGAGGGUUAAGGAAUCUCGGGAAUAAACCUGAGAAGAUUCUCGAAAGGAAUGCCUGAAGAAAUCCUGGAAAGAAUUCCUGAAGAUAUCUCAAAAAAGAACCUCAGCUCAUCUAAUCUCAUCUCAAUUCUUCACCCUAUUCUCUAGCCUCUACCUUUGCCCUCUAUUCCAACCCUCUAUCCUACGCUCUAUCAUAACCUUCAACCCUACCAUCUGCCCUACCCUCUAAACUAUCCUCUACUACAGUGAUAGACAUUCGUUUAGCCGAGACCAAAAAAAGUGUCAGGAAACCCAUACAAAAGAUUUUAUAAUAAAACUUUUUUAUCGUAGUGAUAGUAUAUCUAGUGCUGUUUUCUAAAAAUGUGAUACAUCACACUUACAUAUAUUAUACACUGAAACAAAAACGAGGGUAAAAACCCUUCAAAUGUCAUUUUUUGCCUAGACAUUCGUUUAGCCGAGGUAAAUGAAAAAUUGGUUUUCAAUAGUUUUUUUUUGCAAUUUCGUGAGUAUAUUUCGAGGAUAUACUCCAAGGCAUUUAGUUUAUGACGUGUUAGCAAGAUAAUUGCCCUUAAAAGUUUAUUUAUUUGUGAAAUUCAGAGAAAUAUUAUAAAAAAAUGUCCCGAUAAGGAGAAGCGACGAUAAACAAAUUUAUUUAAGGAAAAUGAUUUCUGUAAACACUCAAACGUAAGCUAGAUUAGCAGUUUUGAAAAUAUGGUACAGAGUUAUUGUUAGAAAUGUUCAAAUUAUUGCAUAAAAUGUCAUGAAAAAAUUAAGUAUACUAGUUUUUGGAUGUUUUAACUUUAAAAUGGGAUUGAUAAAAGCUAAAAUAAAUAAUUCUGCAUUGGAAUAAAGACGUGCCCUAAUGCCUGUGGAGUAUACCUGUUUGAUACUCGCAUUACUAAAUGAGUUAGAAGACUGCUAAGUGAAAGAACUGCAAGUAGUGUCAGAAUUUUUGUACCCUGUUUAUUUAAAAGAAGCUGGUCAUACAAAAAUGCAAGAUAUGGUCAAACAGUUGGAUUAUUUCAUUCAAUCUGAAGAAAUAUAUUAUAAAUGAGACUAAGUUGUGAACCACAUUCGUUUUUAACAUGAUUUAUUUGAAAAGAAUGUCUAAAUUAUGAAACAAGUAGUUCAUGCUAAAAAUUUGAAUACUUUCGGUGCCAUUUCUCGAAAUAUGAACCGUCCAAUGUAUGUUAUUUCAGGCAGAAUACAGUCUGAAAGACAUUUGGAGCUAAUAGAAGACAUAAUAGUAGUAAACGCUAUGAUUUAUGCAAGUGAAACCAUAAUAUUUCAUCAAAACAAUACCUAAAUACGUGAUUUUUUGACGGUUUGCGUUAUUUUUUUUCUGUUAAAACAUUAUUUUUCGUAAAUUUUCAGCCUACUUUGGUCAUGAAACUUUCAUUGCAUUCUUUUGAAACACUUCCGAUAAAAAUAACUACAUCAAAUCUCAAUUUGGAAACAUUUACAAUAUAAUGACAUAUUUAUAUGAGAUGCAUGCAAAAUUAAUAUGGCAACACUUCCAAAAACGACCUAAUUCAUGAUUUUCAAGUCGAUCUAUAAUGCAGGUCACCAUACAAAAUGACUUUGUUGGAUAUUUUUUGAAAUUUGUUAGUUUUUUAUUAUGGAAUUCUAAAAAAUGUUCAAUUCGGCUAAACGAAUGUCUAGGCAAAAAAUGACAUUUGAAGGGUUUUACCCUCGUUUUUGUUUAAGUGUAUAUGUAAGUAUGAUGUAUCACAUUUUUAUAAAACAGUACUAGAUAUACUAUCACUACGAUAAAAAAAGUUUUAUCAUAAACACUUUUGUAUGGGUUUCCUGACACUUUUUUGAAAAUUUUUUACCCUCGGCUAAACGAAUGUCUAUCACUGUAUAACCACUGCCCUAUCCUUUACCGUACCCUCUAGUCUAUAUUAUGCUCAAUCGUACCGUCUACCCUACUCUCUACCUAAACAUUUUUCCUACCCUCAAACCUACUCUUUAUUCUACCCUUCUCCCUAUUGUCUACCCUAUCCUCUAUCCUAACCUUCUACUCCACUCCCUCUACUCUAUCCUUCACCGAAACCCUCUACUCGACCGUCUGCUCCACCCUUUAUCCUACCCGCUACCCUACCAUCUACCCUUUAGAUACCCAUUAGCCUGGUACAUGGUUUAUAUGGGAAAAUACAAAAAAUGGGAAAACUCAAGUUCCUGUAUACUUUUUGAGUUCCACUUUGGUCCCAUAUCAACUGUGCAAAAUUUCAGAUCGAUCGGAAAAACUAUAUUUUAGCGCCCGCCAUUCUUGGUUUUUCAUACGAUUUACUAUGGGGAAAUAUUACUCCUGCAAAGAAAAAUCGCUAGGAGUCACCCCUAGAUCCCUAAAAAUAAGUCGACGAAUGAUCUCUGUAGAAAACUUCACUAGGAAUCAGACCUCUGAAGACAGCAAAUCGAUGCGACGUUCGUGGGAAAAGUUAUUAGGCUUCACCCGAUCGAUAAAAUAACGAGAUUUUAUUAUUUAUUGUUAUUCCUUACAUGUUAAACAGCGUUUGCAUGCCAUUCGGUUUUCAGUCAAUAACUUUUUUCACAUGCCUCAGAUCGCUUUGCGGUCUUCGGAGGGUUGGUUCCACGUAAAAUUUCCAACAUAAAUUAUUCAUCGUAUUAUUUAGGGGUUAAGGCGCAACCUGUGGCGAUUUUUCUUUGAAAAAGUGAUUUUCCCCAUAGUAAAUCGUAUGAAAACUUAAAACGGCUGGCGCUAAAAUAUAGUUUCUCCGAUCGAGUCACUAGCGUGCGCAGGGUUCUUGCUUAGGGGGGGCACCAUAAUAAUGGUGCAAUAUAUGUAUGAUCAUGGUGCAAAAUAUAAUUAUGGUGUUACAAGCAAUAUGGUGGUGGUGCUAACAUCGCCAAGUACUUCAUAAUGGGAUUCUGGAGAAAGCUUCGGAUGAUGAUGAUUUCAAGGCAUUACGAAACUUUGAUAUGAAGUCAUUAUCUCGACUCUUAUAAAAUUUUAUAAACGUUUCAAAUACAAUGGAGAAUAUCGAGAAAAUUAUCAAUUAUAGAAAAAAAAUAUUGUCGUUGUGAAUUGGAGUUGCAACUAGUGAUUUCUUCCAGGAAUUCCUCCACGGAUUCCUGCAGAAAAUCCUAAAGGAAUUUCUUCCAAAACUCUUCCAGGAAUACCUCCAGGAAUUUCUUUAGAUUUUUUUUUCAGAAAUUUCUUCAGGAGUUUCCUUUAGGAAUUCCUCGAGGAGUUCUUUCAGACAUUUCCUCAGGAAGCCUCAUAUAUUUCUCCAGAAAUUACUCAAAUAAAUCCUCCAGGAAUUCCUCCAGUAAAUACUCCUCCAGGAAUUCCUCCAGAGAUCUCUCCUGACAUUUUUCUAGGAAAAAUCCUGAAUGUCUGCCUGUCAGAAUUUCCCCAAUAUUUCCUCCACGGAUGCCUCCAUAACAUGCUAAAGGAAUUUCUUACGGAAUUAUUCCAGGUAUUCCUCAAGAAAUUUCUCCAAGGAUUCUUCCAUGGAUUCCUCCAGGAAAUUAUCAAACAACUUCAUCAAGAAUUCUUCCAGGGAUCAUCCCAUGAAUUUUUUUCAGAAGUUUCACAAAAAAUCCUCCAGAAAUUCCACCAGGAAUUCUUUCAGAAAUUUGUCGAGGAAGAACUCCUGAAAUUCCUCCAGCAACUCCUCUAGGAAAUUCUGCCUGAGUUCCCCAAGAAUGUCUCCCGGAACCCUUCCAAGAAUUUCUCGAGGAAUUCCACAAGAAAUUUGUCCAGGAAAUCCUCCACGGAUUCCUUCAGGAAUUUCUUCAGGAUUUUUUCCAGCAAUUUAUCCAAGAAUUCAUGCAGGAUUUCAUUCAUAAAUUUCUUCAGAAAUUCCUCAAAAAUUCCUCCAGGUAUUCCUUCAGAAUUUGCUCGAGUAGUUCUUUCACACAUUCCAGAAAUUUCUCCGAGAUGCCUCCAGGGAUUUCUCCCCGAAAUUCAUCCAUGAACUCCACCAGAAAAUCCUAAAGUAAUUUCACCCGAAACUCUUCCAGGAAUUCCUCCAGGAGUUCCUUGAAUGAUUCCGCGAGAAAUUCCACCAGGGAAUCCUCCACGGAAUCCCCUAGGAAUUUCUCCAGGAUUUUUUCCUGAAAUUUCUUCCGGAAUUCCUCCAGGGAUGCAAUAAUGAAUGUCUUCAGAAAUUCCUCCAGAUAUUCCUUCAGAAAUUCCUCGAGAAGUUUCUUCAGACAUUCCUCCAUUAAUCUUCCAGGAAGCCUCAUAUAUUUCACCAUAAAUUCCUCAAAUAAUUCCUCUGGAAAUUUUCUUUUAGGAAUGACUGUCAGAAAUCCUACAAUUUUUCUCCUAGGGAUUUCUCUAAGAAUUGAUCCUCGAUCCUGAGCAUUCCUCCAGAUAAUCCUAGAUGAAUUUUUAACGGAACUCUUCCAGGAAUUCCUCUUAGAAUUCCUCGAAAAAUUCCCCCAUGGACUCCUCCAGGAAAUUCUCAAGGCAUUUCUUCAGAAAUUCCUCCGAGGAUUCACCCAUGAAUUUCUUCAGAAAUUCCGCAAAAAUUCCUCCGGGAAUUCUUUCAGAAAUUUCUUAAGGAAGAGCGCCAGAAAUUCUACCAGGAACUCCUCCAGGGAUUCCUCUAAAAAAUCCUCCGGGAAUUUUCACCAAAACUACAGGGAUUUCUCCUUGCAUUCCUCAAAGAAUUCCUCCAGAACUUUUUCUUGCAGUUUCUCAAGGAGUUCCUGCAGGGAUUCGUUAAAAAAUCUCUUCAGAAAUUCUUUUAAAAAAUCCUGCAGAAAUUCCUCCAGAAAUUCCUUCAGAAAUUUCUCGAGGAGUUCCUUCAGAAAUUUCUCCAUGAAGCCUCAUAUAUUUCUCCAGAAUUUCCCCCCUCCAGGAAUUCCUCCAGUAAAUACUCCAGAAAUUUCUUCAGAAUUCCCUCCAGGAAUUCCUCCAGAAUAACCCCCAGGAAUUCCUCCAGAGAUUCCUCAUGAAAUUUCUUGUAGAGAAAAUCCUCUAGGAAUGUCUGCCAGAAUUUCCUCAAUAUUUCCUCCAGGGAUUCUUCAAGGAAUUGCUCUACAGAUUCCUCCAGAAAAUCCUAAAGGAAUUUCUACCGGAACUCUUCCAGGAUUUCCUCCUGAAAUUUCUCGAGCAAUUCUUCAAUGGAUUCGUCCAGGAAAUUCUCAAGGACUUCUUCAGAGAUUCAUUCCUUCAACGAUUUAUUCUUGAAUUUCUUCAAAAAUUCAUCCAGAAAUACCUCCAGGAAUUUCUCCAGAAAAUCCUCUAGGAAUUUCUGUUAGAAUUCCUCCAGAGAAUCUUAAAGGAAUGUCUCCCGGAACCCUUCCAAGAAAUCCUUCAGGGAUACCUCCAUGGAUUCCUCCAGGAAUUUCUCAAUGAUUUUUUUUAGGAACUCCUUCAGAAAUUCCUUCCUCCAUGGAUUCCACCAGAAAUUUCUCAAGGCAUUUACCCAGGGGUUUUUCCAGGAAAUCCUUCACGGAAUCCUCCACAUAAUCCUCAAUCAAUUUCUCCCAGAACUCUUCUAAGAAUUCCUCCAGGGAUACUUCCAUGGAAUCCUCAUGAAAUACCCCCAGGGAUUGCUGCCGGAAUUCCUACAGAAAAUUCUCUAAGAAUUUCUGCCAGAAUUCCUCCAAUAUUGUCUCCAGGGGUUCUUCCAGCAAUUCCUCGACUAAUUCCUCCAGAAAAUCCUAAAAGAUUUUUCCCCGGAUCUUUUCCGGGAAUUUAUCUAGGAAUUUCUCCAGAGAUUUCUCCAUGGAUUCCUCCGAAAUUUCUUCGGGAAUUCAUCCAUGAGUUUCUUCAGAAAUUGCUAAAAAAAAUCCUUUAUUAAUUCCUUGAGGAGCUCCUCUAGACAUUCCUCCAGGAAGCUUUAAAUAUUUGUCCAGAAAUGCCUUAAAGAAUUCAUCCAGGAAUUUCUAGUUAUUCCUCUAAGAAUUCAUAAAUGAAUUCCUCCAAAAAAUUCUGGAGGAAUUUCUCCAGAAAUACCUCCCGGAAUGCAAACAUGGAUUCUUCCAGAAAUUUCUCCAGAGAUUCCUGAAGAAAAUCAUCCAGGAACUUCUCCAGGAAUUCCUCCAGGAAUGUUUCGCAAAAAAUACCUCAAAGAAUUCCUUCGGGAAUUCCUCCAGGAAUUCCUCCAUUCAUUCCUUCAAAAAUUUCUUCAGUAAUUCCAUCUUGAAUUUCUACAGGGAUUCCUCCAGGAUUUUCAUCAAGGAUACCUUAAGGAAUUCCUGCUCGGAUUUCUCCAGAAAAUCCUGAAGAAAUUUCUCCCGGAACUCUUCCAGGAAUUCCUCGAGAAUUUUUUCCAGGGAUUUCUACAGAAUUUUCAUAUCUGGAAUUUUUCCAGGAAUCUCUCCAGAAAUUUGUCCUGGGACAACUAUAAAAAAAAUCCUUAGUUUUGCUCCAGAAAAUCCUCAAAAAAAAUCUUCAUGGAUACCCCCAAGAAUUCCUCUAGGUAUUCCUCCAAGAGUUUAUCCACGGAUUUCUCCAGAAAAAAAACUUCUCCUGGAACUGUUCCAGGAAUUCCUCUAGGAAUUCUUCGAAGAAUUUCUCCAGGGAUUCCUCCAUGAAUUUCGCCAGGGAUUCCUCCAUGAAUUUCUUCAGAUAUUCCUCAAAAAUCUCUCUAGGAAAUCUUUCAGAAAUUGCUCGAGGAGUUCCUUAAAUCAUUCCUCCAGGAAGCCGCAAAUAUUUUUCCAGAUUUUUUUCAAAAAAUUCCUUCAGGAAAUCCUGCAGAAAUUUUUCCAGGAAUUCCUUCAUUUUUCAGGAAUUUCUCCAGAACAAUCUUUAAGGAUUCUUCCAGAAAUUUCUCUAUGAAUUCUCCAGGGAUUCAUCCUUGAAUUCUUUCACAGAUUCCUUUAGGAAUCCCUCCUAGGAUUACAGCAGGGAUUUUUCCCGGAACUUUUCUGGGUAUUUCUCUAGGAAUUCCAUUAGGGAUUUCUCCAUGGAUUCCUCCAUGAAUUUCUUCGGGAAUUCAUCCAGGAGUCCAUCCACGAGUUUCUUCAGAAAUUACUCAAAAAAAUCCUUCACAAAUUCCUCGAAGAGUUCCUCUAGAAAUUCCUCCAGGAAGCCUUAAAUAUUUGUCCAGAAAUUCCUUAAAGAAUUCAUCCAGGAAUUUCUUUAGAUGUUCCACGAAAAAAAUCUUCAGGAAUUUAUCCAGAAAUACCUCCCGGAAUGCAAACAUGGAUUCCUCCAGGAAUUUCUCCAAAGAUUCCUCAAGAAAAUCUUCCAGGAAUUUCUCCAGGAAUGUUUCGCAAAAAAUACCUCAAAGAAUUCUUUCGGAAAUUGCUCCAGGAAUUCCUCCAUUAUUACUUCUAAAAUUCCUUCGUUAAUUUCAUCUUGAAUACCUCCGGGAAUUUCUACAGAGAUUCCUCCAGGAAUUUCUGCAAGGACUCCUAUAGGAAUUCCUGCUCGGAUUUAUCCAGAAAAUCCUGAAGAAAUUUCUCCCGGAACUCUUCCAGGAAUUCCUCGACCAAUUGCUCCAGGGAUUUCUACAGACACUUUUUCAGGAUUUUUUUUCUGGAAUUUUUCAAGGAAUCUCCAGAAAUUUCUCCUGGGACAACUAUGAAAAUUUCUCUUUUAAUUGCUCCAGAAAAUCAUCUAAAAAAUUCUUCAUGGAUUCCUCCAAGAAUUCCUCUAGGUAUUCCUACAAGAAUUUAUCCAUGAAUUUCUCAAGAAAAAAACUUCUCCUGGAACUGUUCCAGGAAUUCCUCGAAAAAUUUCUUCAGGUAUUCCUCCAUAGAUUUCGCCAGGAAUUUCUCCAGGAAUUUCAUAAGGAAUUCCUCCAGGGAUUCUUCAAUGAAUUUCUUCAGAUAUUCCUCAAAAAUCCCUCUAGGAAUUCUUUUGCUCGAGGAGUUCGUUUAAUCCUUCCAGGAAGCCGCAAAUAUUUUUCCAGAAAUUUUUCAAAGAAUUCCUUCAGGAAAUCCUCCAGAAAUUCUUCCAGGAAUUCCUACAUUUUUUAGAAAUUUCUCCAGAAAAACCUCUAGGGAUUCUUGCAGAAGUAGUAAUUCUCCAGGGAUUCAUCCUUGAAUUCCUUUGCGGAUUCCUUCAAGAAUUCCUCCUAGGAUUACAGCAGGGAUUUUUCCAGGAAUUUUCCAAAACUUUCUCUAGGAUUUCCUCUAUGAAUGUCUCCAGGGAUUCAGCCAAGUACUCCUCCUGAAAAUCCUCCAGAAAUUCUUCCAAUAAUUCUUGAAAGAAUGCCUCCAGAAAUUCCUCCAAGAAAUUUUUCACGGAUUCUUCCAAACAUUCCUUCAGGAAUGCCUCCACUGAUUCCACCAGAAAUUGCUCCACAAAUUCCUCCAGAGAAUUUUCCAGUAAUUUCUGCAAGGAUUCGUCAUUGAAUUCCUCGAGUAAUUCUUCCACAAAUUCAUGCAGGAAUUUUUCCAAAAAAUCCUUCAGGAAUUCCUCCAGCAAUUCAUCCUGGAAUUCCUCCAUGGAUUCUUUCAUGGAUUCCUUCAUAGAUUCCUUCUGUUACCCCUCCGGUGUUUCGUCCUGUAAUUCCUUCACGUAUUCCUUCAGAAAUUCCUCCAGGUAUUUCAUCAGGGAUUUCACCAGGAAUUUCUCAUAGCUUCCUCCAGGAAUUCUUAGAAACUCCUCCAAAUGUCUCUCCAGAAAUUUCCUCAGGGAUUCCUGCAGAAAUUCCUCCGGACAUUCUUCCAGAAGUUCCUCCAGGCAUUCUUCCAAGGAUUCCUUCAGGAAUGCCUUCAGAGAUUCCUCCAGAAAUUCUUCCAGGAAUUCCUCCAGGGUUUCUUCCAGGAAUGCCUCCAGAGUUUACUCUAGGAAAUCUUCCAGGGGUUCGUCAAUGAGCCCUUGCUGGAACUCUUCGAGAAAUUUGUCCAAGACUUUUUGGAAAUAUUUCUCCACAAAUUCCUCUGUGAAUUCUUUCACGAAUUCCUCUACGGAUUCCCCCAGCAAAUUCUUCAAGGAUUCCUUUAGGAAUGCCUCCAGAGAAUUCCUUUCAAUAAUUUUUCCAGCAAUUCCUUUAGUAGCUCCUCCUGCAAAUUCUACAGGAAUUUCUUAACUCCUCUUCCAGUUUUUGAGAGCUUUUUUCAAGAAUUUUUUCAAGCACUUCUUUAAUAAUGUCUUCAGGGAUUCCUCCAGAAAGUCCUUCAAGGAUUCCCCCUGAAAUUUCUCCAGGGAUUUCUCCUAGAAUGCCUCCACGAAUUACUCCAGAUAUUUCUCGAGGUGGUAACGUGAUUCUGAAAAUGAUCCACGGAAUGCUAUUUUGAUGCGCGAAUCACAAAAUGGUAUAUAAAAUUCAAUUGUGGAUGAUACAAUGAACACCAAGAAGGUGUAUAGAAUUUUAAAAAGGUGUGUGAUGUGAGUAUGGUUAUAUACCUCAAUGGUCAAGGGAACGUCGAGAUAAUGCAUGCGUGGCAAGUAAUUGCAAUUUGAUUUAUAGAAUGCUAAGAUAAAACAUGAGAUUUGGAGAUGGUGUAAACAUAAAAAUGUUGGUGCUGCGUGAACAUUAAAUUGCGUGCGGCAAUAAAGGUGCAUGAUGUCACCGUAGUGUAUAGGAUCUUCUAAUAACACUGAGUUCAUUGGUAUGGUGCAUUGAAUGCUGAUAUGGAACAUGUCAUUCAAAGAUGGUGCUUGAUGUCAGUAUGCAGCAUUAGAGUUGACAUCGUACAAGAAAUGCUAUUUCGAUGUACGAAACUACAUACAAUAAUAAUGGUGCAAUAGAUACCUAGAUGAUAUAGUGAACGCCACGAUUACGCAUUAAAUGCUUUAGUAAUGCAUGAAAUUUAACGAUGGUGCCUUAUUUCGCAAUUAGAUACAUAUUUGAUUCAAAGAUGGUGCGUGAGAUGUUGCCUAGAUGAUUCUGUGAACAUCAUGGUGGUGCAUGAUGUCUGUAUGGUGCAUUAGCUUCACCAUGAUUCUGUUAUACUCGUCAUGUUUCAUAUUUAGGUGCACUUGCAAUUCGUGCAAAGGUGCAGGAAACUCAAUGUGGCACAGAAAUCAACAUGUUCCAGGUACGUGGAAUACUAUUUUGUAUGCGAAAUGCCAAAAUGGUGCAUCAAAUUCAAAUGUAAACCACAUCAUAAUGGUGCACAAGAUACCUAGAUGGUUAAUGAAUGCCAAAAUGGUGCAUCAAAUUCAAAUGUAAACCACAUCAUAAUGGUGCAUAAGAUACCUAGAUGGUAUAAUGAAUGCCAAAAUGGUGCAUGGAAGGCUUGGAAGAAGGCGUAUGAUGCUUGUGAGCUACAUUAGUUGUCUCCGUUAUUCAAAGAUUAUCAACAUGUUGCAUGGUUAGGUGCACGAAUUGCAAAAAUGGUGCAUAGAAUACAAAAUAAAAGUAUUUUAUGUGAUGCUUACAACAUAAUGGUGCAUCAGAUGCCUAGAUAAUAUAAUAAACGCUGAAAUGGUGCUUGGAAAGCUUUGAUGGUGCAUGAAAUUUAAUGAUGGUGCAUAUCAGUAUGAUGCAUUAGAUUCCUAGUUGAUUCAAAGAUAGUGCAUGAGAUCAGCAUAAUGCGUGGAUACCUAGAUCAUUCUGUGGAUGCUUUGAACAAGGUACAUGAUGUUAGUGUGCUGUAUUAGUUGUCACCGUUAUUCAGCGACACUCGAUAUUGUGUAUGGCUAGGUGCACGAAUUGCAAAAAUGGUGCUUGGAAUUCAAUGUAGUGCCGAAGUCACCAUGGUUCACGUACAUGGAUUACAGCUUUGGAAAACGAAAUGCCAAAAUGGUGCAUGUUAUUCGAAUAUGGUGCUCACAUCACUGAUUAGUUGAAAGAUGGUGCGUGAGAUUAGCCUAAAAAUGAUUGUGAGAACAUCACGGUUGUUCAUGAGACACUAAUAAAUUGUAUGUAUCAGGGGUGCAUUUGUUGCCACCAUGAUUCAAUGAUUCUCAGCAUUGGGUGGUUAGAUCUAAAAUUAAGAAUUGCAAAAAUGAUGCAUAGAAUUUAAUGUGGUGCGGAAGUCAACAUGGAUCAGGUACCGUCUACCCCCGUUGGUUUGAACGACACCUCAUGCAAACCAUCGAGGUUCAUUUUUAAUUUGAACUUCUAGUUACCCUGUCGGCAUCGAAAAACACACGGAUGGUAACCCUUUUUGCAGUUUUGUUUUGAUUCUGCGUUCCGUUUCACCCCGUUCCAUAAGGUACAAGGAAUGCUAUUUUGUAUGCGAAAUGCCAAAAUGGUGCAUCAAAUUCACUUGUGAACCACAUCAUAAUGGUGCAUAAGAUGCCUAGAUGAUAUAGUCAAUGCCAAAAUGGUGGUUGGAAAGCUUUGAAGAAGGUGCAUGAUACUAGAUGAUGCAUUAGUUGUCACCGUUUUUCAAAGCUUAUGCUUAGGUGCACGAAUUGGAAAAAUGGUGCAUAGCAUACAAAAAAAUGUAUUUUGUGUGAUGCUCACGGCAUUACAGUGCUUUAGAUGCCUAGAUAAUAUGAUAAACGCUGAAAUGGUGCUUGAAGAGCUGUGAUGGUGCAUGAAAUUUCAUGAUGGUGCAUAUCAGUAUGAGGUAUUAGAUAUCUAACUGAUAAAAAGACAUUUCAUGCGAUCAUCAUAAUGCGUGGAUACCUAGAUCAUUCUGUGGACAUCAUGAUGGUGCAUUGAAAGUUUUGAAGAAGGUGCAUGAUGUUAGUGUGCUGUAUUAAUCGUCACUGUUAUUCAGUGAUACUCGUUAUUUUGUAUGGCUAGGUGCACGAAUUGCAAAAAUGGUGCUCAGAAUUCAAUGUGGUGCCGAAGUCACCAUGGUUCACGUACAUGGAAUACAGUUUUGGAAUACAAAAUGCCAAAAUGGUGCAUGUUUUUUCAAAUGUGGUGCUGACAUCACUGAUUAGUUAGAAGAUGGUGUGUGAGUUUAGCCUAGAUGAUUUUGAGAACAUCAUGGUUGUGCAUGAGAUACUAAGAAAUUGUAUGUGUCAAUGAUGCACCAUAGCUCAAUGAUUCUCAACAUUGCGUGGUAAGGUGCAAGAAUUGCAAAAAUGGUGCAUAGAUUUUUUUUAUAGAAGGGGGGGCAAGUGCCCCCCCUUGCCCCCCCCUGUGCACGCUAGUGGAUCGAGUUGAAAUUUUGCCCAGUUGAUAUGGGGCCAAAAUGGAACUCAAAAAGUGUACAGGAGUAAAAUGUCUUUUCGUGUCCCACCCUAAUGUUCAUAGCCAUCGCUAGAACCAGAAACGAAUUGAAGAACAGUCGUUUCCCUCCCUUCCAACUUCCACUCAAAGCACAGUGUAUAUAUAACGCCUACAAGUUAUGCAACCAAAGCGUGCUGUGCCGCUUGACCUUAUUCCCUUAUUCACCACACAAUCUAUCACGAACACUAUAAAUAACUCCUAUCCAUGGAUCGCAUCACCGACACAACGGUGACUCCCAGAUCUCCCAUCCUUUCCGUCUAACAAAUACCCCAGCCCGUGCUGGUUGUGGGGAUGCAGAGGUGAUCUCGGUCUUUAGUAGCAACAACCGGCACACUCUAACAUUCCUUUCCCUUCCCAACUGACUAUAAGGACGUGGCCGGCGACGUUAUUGAUCCAAAAUGUAUGAGCUGCUUAAAUUGCACUUUGAGAAUAAGUGGAGUUUUCCAGCCCUUAUUCAUUUGGAUCUCAGUGCAAUUGGCUUCUUUAGCGGUGUUGAGAUAAUUCCAUAUUCUGAAUCUGCAUGCAAAACUAAGCCGAAAUCCAAAUUUUCAUGAAUUUUGGUGCCCAGGAACCUAUUUAAAAAUCAAUUUGAAGUUUGUAUGGGAGCGAUUUGUCGAAUCACCCCUCGUCGCAUUUUGUACUGGGUGGAGCUGUCAAACAGUUACCCAGCUGUCAAAAGAUGAUUUCAAAAAAUCUCUUGGAAAUUGAUUUUAGGUACCAAAAUAAAGUUCUAAAAAUCUGAAAAAAAUCAUAGUGGCUCAGAAAAAGGUGCUCUUUCGUAUAAAAUCAAAAAAUUGAUACAUUUUUCUUAAUUUAAAAACCCAAUUGGUACCAGCUCAGAUCAAUCACGGAGGAGGAACCAUUGACAUGUAUAGUCAGAUUUGAUCGUUGAUCGUUUAAUCGCUAUGUCUAUGGGUGUAACGAUAAUUUCUUUCAGUAUGCAAAGCUACGAUUUGUAAUCUAUCAUAUCCAGUAAGUAUUCUGAAAGGUUAAUAGACAAUAUCGGGUUAGUCGGGUUAUCCUAGGUCAUCCUAACUGUUCUUUGAGUUUAGAUCCUAAAGUCUGCGGGUGUAACGGUAACUUCUUCCAUUAAAAGCUACAAUUUGUAAUGUAUCAUGUCCAGUAAGUCUUGUGAAAGUUAUAGUGAUUGUUUUUAUCAACUAAGCUUCAUAACAGUAAAGAAGGCCAUAGUAUCCUAAAAAUAUAUAACAACGCUUAUUGUUCCUCUAACUGCUUUGGUAAGUACAGUGGAUUAUGUAACACUACUCAACGUAGUGGCAAAAGCUAUUAUCACAAGUGUUGACCUGAAGCUGUGAUCUCCGGAGCAGUGUUGUUAAUCUGGAAUAUCUCAAAACUAUCUUGAAAUGAUUCAUGAUAUGCCAGGGGAAUUACAGAUUAUAGUUUAAAGUUCAUUGAGAGAAUAACUACUGUCAAGAGAUAAACAUCAGGAUAGCUUGGACGACCCUCAAUUUCCCAAAGGUUUAUAAUAAUAUAUAGUAGACUUCAGAUUGGUCCAGUCACUGCGAUUGAUUAUGAAAUUAUACUCAAUACAGGGAAUAGACAAAAUGAUCGGGACAGGCAAAAUUUUCA
Molecule: long non-coding RNA, 85014 nt
Organism: Aedes albopictus (Asian tiger mosquito)
Lineage: Eukaryota; Metazoa; Arthropoda; Insecta; Diptera; Culicidae
Exons: 2
Source: RefSeq, a predicted model, not a curated record